Molecule: long non-coding RNA, 69776 nt
Filed under: Theobroma cacao (cacao)
Lineage: Eukaryota; Viridiplantae; Streptophyta; Magnoliopsida; Malvales; Malvaceae
Description: long non-coding RNA (TCAC_LNC004222)
Source: RNAcentral
UUAGAGAUCGAAUUGGGCAGAUAUUCUAAGGAACGAUUAUCUGAAAGAUUUAGAACUUUUAACCCAGACAUGUGCUUAAAAAAAGAUUCUGAAAUCCUUUCUAAGCCACAAUGUUCCAAAAUCAAAGUUGAUAAAUGAGGCCAUCUAGGUGAUAUGUGAGGAGGAAUUUCUAAUUUAAAAGUUUCCAUCAAGGAAACUUUCUCAACACUCACUGUCCAUUCUUGCUCACUUGGGAAUUCUUUCAAUGGCAUACCUGCUUUUCCCAUGAACUGAUGACCUGCAAUAUACAACGCCAUGUCCCUCAAAACAUCAUGCAUCUUAACUCCAUCAUUAUCAAUAAGAAAUGUAGCCCUCUCUAAUAGGCAAUUACUUUCAAGCUUAUUUAAAAUGCUAUAACCUCUAUGAUGCAUUGCUUCUUUGGUCUGUAAGCCAUCAAGGAGUCCCUCAUCUAUCCAAUUUUCAAUUAAUUCCACUUUUCUAAUUAUAUAAUCUUCAGGAUAUAGGGAGCAAUAUAAGAAACAAUUUUGGAUUUUUGGAUCUCUCAAAUGGUCAUAACUGAACUUCAAAGGCUCAUAUACUUCGAUAUCCAAUUCUUUCACACUUUCCACACGCUCUUCUAAUUCAAUUAGUGCAUUCUUCCACUCACAAAAAUCAUCUACCUCUUUCAUGCUACCGGCUAUUGUCACAAUACUAAGUGGUAAACCGCCACAUUUCUCAACAAUUUUGUCGACAAUGUCCUUUAAAUUUUGAUCUUGUACAACUCUACGCCCCACGUGAUCUAAGAAUAAGUUCAUGGACUCAUUCUUUGGAAGCAGUUGCACUUUGACCACCUCACAACCCAUAGACUUACAGACCUCAAUCGAUCUGCUAGUGAGUACAACUUUCCUUCCCAUACCUAAUGUUGGUUCAAGGAUUCCCAAAUCUAAUAGAGAAAAUCGUUUCCAAACAUCAUCUAAGAUCAACACAUAUCUCUUUUCCUCCAAAAUAUCCUUUAAUUUUGCAGCUCGUUGCAAUACAUCCGUUGGAAGAGCUUGUUUCAAAGAAUUUGCAAUAUCUUCUUGCAAUUUGAAAAUAUUCAAUUCUUUUGAUACGGUGACCCAUAUCACUUGAUCAAACAGAUUAUCCUUCAACAAUUGAUUAUUGAUAUGCUUCAUAAUGGUAGUUUUCCCUAUGCCACCCAUUCCACAUACUCCAAUCAUUCUAACCUUAUCACCCAUCAAAUACUUCCAAAUUUGUUCUUUUACAUCGAUUUCACCUUCUAGAUUUGGUGUUAGUAAUGUCACCCCAGUGGCUGGAGGCCCAUCAACUGCCACACCAUCAGGGAAACUACCUUGUUGGUAAAUUUUGUUUACCUUUUCAAUAUUUUCGCAAACAAAACUUCCUAGAUGACCACGUGACAAGAAUGAAACAGAACGGAACUCCUCUUCGAUGGUUUUCACUUCAUUGCCUACAUUUUCUACAUCUUUGAGCCAGUUCGCCACUUCUUUCUUCAUCUUUUUCCCACAACGUUCCUCUGCUUCCAUUUUUAAUUCAAGGUCUCGCUUUCGAGAAUUUAGACUAUUUACAUUUCCUCGAAGCUCAUUCAUAUAAUCUUCAAGUUUCCGAUGAUGAUUUAUGUAUGGACCCCCAAAGCUCCUUAUCACUUCAACAAAUGACAAUAUCCAAUCCAUAUUAUAAGCUCACUGCAAUUUAAAAACCCAACGUAUGUUAAGAUUCUUGCUUCACUUGUUAUGUUUGAGUAUAACAAAGAUAAAAUUGUUAAUGAAGCUUUGUUUCAAUGGUAAGGAAGAUGUGUAAGUUCGAUAUUACUUUUAUGCUAGUUAUUUAUUUAUUUAUUUUAUUGAUAAUUUGUUCAUUAUUUUUUACACUGAACGUAAUCAUUUGUUUUAUUAUGACUGUAAUUUGUACUUGUUCAUGUAAUAUAAAAAAAUAUAUAUAUAAAAAAGCAUUUUUGUUUUUAACUAAAAUUCUGAAUUUCUGGUGUUUGAUUAAUUAGUAAUGAGUUGUUUAAUUACUAUAUUUCUUAAAUUCUGUUUUAGAAUAUCGGGUGAAGCAUCUGUAAUACUUUUAUAAACCAUUACCAAAUGUUUUAUUCCUUCUACCUUAUUUUUUAUAUUUUCCUUCAAAAUUUCCUUAAUAUUCCACUUUCAAGCAAAACUAAGUAAAUAUAAACCAUAAAUAAUUAAUAAAUGAUUUAUUUUUCUUUCUCCCCUGUUGAUAACUAUCAAAAAUUCUUGGAUAUUAAUUACAUCAUCAAUAAAAGGAGGGAUAAAGAAGAAACACUAAUUUUCAAUAAAGAUAAACAUCAAAGGCACUAAAGAAUAUUAAUUAAUAUUUUUUUGAACAGUUCUAAAAAAUUUCAAUUAUGGAUUAAUAUAAUCUAAAUAUAAGUAAGGAAGUUUGUGAAAACAACAAUAUAUCCCACAAAGACAUUAAGAAAUAAUUGCAGGAAUAAAUUGUGAGAGUAAUGACCUUCAGGAUAUAUACCUGGCUUGUUCUUCAAAUUAUUCGGAAAGAUGAAACCCAAAGGUCAGUUAAAUGAUCCACAAACCUCCUUGUCUCUUUGUUAAGCACAACCUUCUUAGGCAGAAGAAAGAAGCUGGCAUAAAAUUAACAAGGAAAAUUAGUAGUGUUAAUAAAAGUGAAAAUCUAAUGUGGUAUAGUCUUCAGAGUUAUUUGCCUAAAUAAGAAAAUAGAGGACACAAAACAAAGAACCAAAAUAAUUAAGUGGAAGGAAAGAUGAUGAAUUUAAGAUUCCAGAAAACAUGAACCCAAAUCUAUAUUAAACAGUUUAAUUACCUGGUCAAGUGAGGUAGAUGAGGUGGUACUUGUAUCCUUAGAGGGUCUUAAGUCUGUGAAAGCAGGAAACUAAGAUCUCUGUUAAAUUUGUGAAGAAAACAGCAACAAGCAGAUCUCCUCCCAAACUAUUAUCUAUGAGAAGAAAAUGAAUAAUGAAGCACAUGAAUUAUUGAAAAGUGGACAAGGUAAAUAUUUAUGUGGAAACUAAAAUAAAUGCCCAACUUGUGUUGGAAGGUAUGGUAAGAUGAAUUUAUGUCAUAAGUUAAGAUUCUGAUUAAUUACUGCUACCAAAGAUAAACAUAAAUCACACAAAUAUAAACAGUUUACCUGGUUCACGGAGACAGUGAACUGAUUCUUCUGUCGUUAGAAGGUCUUUGUUAAAUUUGAGAAGCAAGCACACUCAGGAAAUAUAGCAGCAAUAAGCAGAUGAUCUCCGUGAGAAGAGAAUCGAUGAAUUGUGAAGCUAAAAGAAUUAAGAGCUGGCAAGUCAAUGCAAAGUCGUCGCACAAAUUGUACAUUCACUUUCCUUGAAGUUGUUUCACAGUAAUGCAAAUGUAAAUUCACUUUCCUUGAAGUUGUUUCACGGUAAUGCAAAUGUGAAUAGAAGAAAAACUGACAAAGUAGGACUGAAUUAUGGGGCCACUUGUCCUACUUUCCACUCCUUCAUUAUUGUCCUUCUUGUCUUCUGUUUGGCAAUAAUGCAAGUAUGAAUUUAACAGAUGCCCUGGAUUAAGAAACUUAUAACUUUAAUAGAAGUUUAUAAUUUAAGAAGUGAAUUAGUCUAACCAAAAAACUGAACAAUUAUUUUUUUGUUGCUGAUAACAAAGGUUUGAUUAUACACAGAAUGUAAUAAGUUAUGAUCUCCUAAAUUUAGUCCAUCUUAUAAGUGCUUGAAUUCAUAUAUACUAAUGUCCUCAGUCUUGAAUUCUUUUCUUAUUGCUGAUAACAAUGGUUUACUUAUGUUCAGAAUGAAAUAGGUUAUGAUCUCUUAAAUGGAGUCCAUUUUAUAAGGAGACAGGAAAGAAAGAGCCCUGUGUUUGAUGGCAGUGAGGCAACCAGAUUGAUUUUCCACUAAUUAGCCACAUCAGAUUACUAUGUAUAGCCACUAAGUCAAGUGAAGCAACGAUCUCCUAUCAAGAAAAUAACAAACAGCACAUCUCCUGGCAAAUUAACUCAUCUAUAAUGACAAGAGAAUGAAUUAAUAAUUUAAAAGUGGGCAAGUCAAUGCAAGUCAUGAUGUUGGUUUCGGGGUCACUUCCCUUAAAGCUGCUUUAAAAUAAAGCAAAUAGGAAUCGAAUAAAAGAUGAUAACGUGAGAGUGAAUACUGCUUCAUAUUUCUUAAAGACACAAUCAUGUAAGCUAUUUCGUUCAGUGCCUGGAUCAUAUGUAUGCACAUGUGCAUGCAUAGGACCAACUUUAAAACGAGCCCUGUCAAUCAUAGAUUAUAUCAUUCGUGAUAUAAUCUGAUGAAUAACAGGUGAUAUAAUCUGAUGAAUAACAGGUCAUUGCCAAUAUCACAAGAGUUAUUGAUAAAAACUAAAACUUGGGAAAUGUUGACAAGUAUUUGUAUAUUUAUACUAUACACAGAAAAGACUCAAGAAGGUCUUUGUUAAAUUUGAGAAACAAGCACAGUCAAGAAAAAUAGCGGCAAUAGCAACAAGCAGAUGAUUUCAGUGAGAAGAGAAUCCAAUAAUUAUGAAGCAAUAAGAAUUACAAGUCAGCAACUCAAUGCAAAGUCGUCGCAGAAGCUGUAAAGUAACUUCCCUUGAAGCUGUUUCACAAUACUGCAAAUGUGAAUUGAAGAAAAACUGACAAAGUAGGACUGAAUUAUGGGGCCUACUCUCCUCCAUCAUUGUCCUUCUUGACUUCUGUCGCGAUAAAGAAAAUAUGAAUUGAACAAAAACUGACAGACUAGUAUUAUUGUCCUCGCAACUUUCUUUCACAAGGGCACCCAUUUUUAUGUCCUAAGGCAAAGACCAAAAUUAUCUGGGAACAAUCAAAGAAAGUUGUAUGUCCUUUGCUACUUGCUAGCUAUCUUGACUAAUAUUGUAUGUAACACUUAUUAUUUUCUAUAAAUUUUUACAUAAUAACAAAUUUGAUGUAAAGUUCAUUAGUUAAUGGUACGUUAAUUCACUUGAUCGAUAACUAAUUAAAAUGUGAAAAGUGUAAUUUUAUUAAUUCCGUAGAAUUAUUUUAGUGAAGUUUCUAAGUAUAUCAUCUAAUCCGGUAUCUAGCAUCAUUAUUUCUACUUUUUUUUUUCCUUUUGUAUAAGUAUAUCGAUAACCAACAAUUAUUUUCAGGGUUGUUUAACAUACUAUGGCCACUGUCAUGCAUUGCUAUGUCUAGUCUAUAAUUCAUGGAGGAAUCCCUCCUCGGUUCAUUUCUCUAUUUUACUCUAUUCUUUCAAUUUUGCAGUCUUCAUGAUAUAAGAAGCAAUAGAAAAAAUAAUUUUGGAAUUUUGAGUCUUCCAAAUGAUCAAAAUUACACACACUACAACAAAUUUGACUUAAAACAGCACAUUUUAUAAAUGUGUUACUAAAAAUAUUUUUAAUAACACUUUUUUUAUGUUUUUUAGAACAGCUUUUUAGAUCUAAUUUUACUAUAUACAUUUUUAGAUGCAUUAUCAAUAAAAUGUAACAAUAGAAAUUAUAUACACUAACAAAUGUUGCAUUUUACUGUACAAAAAAUAUAUCGUCCAAACAAGUGUGGUUAAAACUUAAUUUUUUUGCUAUUACAUCAAACACUCAAAUAUUUCAACAUCUUAUCUUCUCACACUUUUGACCCGUUAAUUCAUUUAAUGCAUCCUUCCACUCACAAAUAUAUGUCAUUUACUCCAUGCUACCUAAUAUUGUCAGAAUGGCGUGUCUUUGCCAAAUACUUCUAAUAGGCCCUAACUGAUUAGGCAAAACAUAUCUUCAAAUUGGAAUAAUUAAGGGAUUGGACUUAUCUACAAGAACCAACAUCUGAAGUUGCAAGGAAUAUAAUCUUACUCCAAAAUGGAAUUUGUAAUUAUAGAGUCUUACAAAUGCUAAUUACAUAGCACAAAUUAAUGAUCAGAUAAUGCAGUCUUCCUAGAUGGAUGAUUUGAAUAUGAGAAUUAUGAGCUGAGUACAGUGGAGAUUUUUCCUCACAUUUUUCUAUAAUAUUAUUUAUGAGCAGCCUUAGCUUCAUAUAUUAUCAAUUAGUGCAUGGGAAGCUUUGAAGAACAUUAUGAGACAAUUAGUAAGUAUUCAUAACUAUAUAGAAAAGAAAGGAUAGCUUCUAUAUGAAGCAUUUUGCUUGCAAAAUACAUGCAGGGUGCCACAUGAUUGGAUAUUUCAGUUGUAUGGAUAUUUGAAGUCCUAGGAUAGCAAUUGUUUGGGAAGAAAGAAUUUCUGAGAAACUUUCCUCAAUGUUGACAGGGACUUUUCAUAUCAUCUGUUAUGACAAUUUGACUUCCACUAACCCUCACCACUUUCCCCAUUUUUUUGGGUAAUAAAAAGAAGUUGAUUUUUUCCAACUUAAAUUGAGGUAUUUGACAGGCUACUGAUGAUCUAAAAGACUUCACUAUCCAAUUGCAUGGGCCUCAGGGCACAAUUUGAACAUCAAAUACAAAAUUCAACCUGGUUGAGCUCCCAACUGUGUAAAGAAAAAAUCAAUUAAAUAUUGUUCAAUUCUUGCUUGUAACGUCUGCAGAUUGUAUAUGAGACUGAUGGAGUAAUAAAUAUGUCUAACCCAGAGAAAUCAUGGAUUAAUCAACUCGUUCUUUUAAAAGGGAAGGCAUCACAUUAGUUCAUCUACUAACUAAACCUUUACAAGCGGAAUAUUGGAUUAAAGUUAAAACAAGGGAUCUCUCUUUGAUAUAAACUAGUCCUAAAGAAUUUAUAGGAUAAUUGAGAGAUUGAAUACUGAAAUUGAAGAAGUCCAAACUUUUGUUUGGCAUAUAUUCAUAAACCAGCAUCUUUUCCUCUCCUUCAAUGCAACAUCCCAGGAGCUUUACAAGAUUUCGAUGUUGAAGCUUGGCAAUUAGUGCUACUUCAUUUUUGAACUCAGUUAAACCUUGUCCAGAGCUUCUUGAAAGCCUCUUCACAGCGAUCUCUUGUCCAUCUACCAGGUUACCCUGAAAAAAAUGUACUUUAAAGAGUUGUAACUUUGUUCUAAACAUACUUCAUACUUUGUCUUCUGAUCAAUUUCACCAGAAUGUUGCAAAUUUACCCUGUAUGCAUGCCCAAAACCACCUUGUCCUAGUUUGUUGUCAAUGGAGAAAUCAUUGCUUGCUUCGGAUACUAAUGAUAAGUCGAAUAACUGGACUUCUGAGUCUUCGCUUUGCCCUUCAGUGCUCCUGUCCUUUAUCACAUGGUUUUCUCUAGCCCCUGAAACAUUUUAGUACAUACUAACAUUAGCCAUAGAAGGCUAUAUCAUGUUGGUCAAUUGUAUUUCUGAACAGACUAGGGAAGUUGGUAAUUAGUAUUCUAAAACAUAGUGAAAACAUGAUUUGUGAAAGCAAAUGGAUCAGAUAGUGUUACCUUAUAAACAGCUCCAAAACCACCUUCCCCUGGCUUGUUGUCCAUAGAAAAGCUAUGAGUAGCAAGCGCAAAUAUUGCAAGCUCCAAGUCUUCAUCCAGGCCUUGAUUUUCUGAAUCAUUUUCCUUAUUGUUUUCUGUUUCUCUGAAAUAGUAGUCAAAAUAGGCUUUUUAUUCACCAUAAAAUAUGCAUUCUAAUUGAGCUAGAUAACUGAACAUAAAACUCAUUUUUCACACCAAUAAGCAUUGAAAACUACUUAUUUUUUGAGAAAAAAAAAACAUUAUUCCAAUGAACUGGCAAACAAUCUAAUUUACUUCUUUUGAAGAAACUGCAUGUGGAUAAGUGGAUUAGGUAGCAUCACUAUUAACAAGGUAAUUUUUUUUGUUUAUUUAGCUAAGGAAUUGAAUGACAUAUUUGUGAAGGAUAUGUCAAAAUUACCUUUCAACUUUCUGCGGACUCUGUAAAUGUAAUAACUGAUUAUAAACAGCCCCAAAAGUGCAACACAGCGGUUUUGCAAUAGAUGCAACAAGCUUCAACCUUGGCUUAUCGCAUCCAAGCUUGGCUUUCUGCAUUCCAUGUGUAGCCUUGUAUCAUCAGUUUGGUUAGGAGCAAGUCCUGUGAUCAAUGAUUUCUAUUUGAGACAUUUUGGAUGGUUGACAUAUAAAAUACAAACACCAGGUGGGUUGAUCAUGCAUUGUUUUUAUGAGAUGAUGUGAUUGACUGACUCUUGAUCAAUGAACUGUACACAAAGUGCAGCAGAAAACAAUUUAUAAACAUUGAGAUUCCAGAUAAUUACUUGUAUUGAAUAAUUUCCAAUUCAUCAACCAUUUCACACCAGUAGACAUUUUCAUUAAAAGCACAAGGCACAAGCAUCAGCUGGGAAUGCAAUUACUUGAUUAUUAAAACAUAACUCAAAGCAUAGUCUUACGAACAGUAUAUAAACAGAGUUUGUAGCAUGGGAGAUGUGAGGAUACAACUCCCUAACCAACCUUUAACAUCGAUAUGGUUAUUUCAUUCUACAUGCCCACAGCAAAUGGAAAAGGAAACAAUAAUGUCUAAUCAAUCUUACUUGUUCAACAAGGAUUUGAAGGAUAACAGCUAAAUCAAUAAAUUGGCGUUGAAUUAAGUUAUAAGAUUUUGAUCACAAACAGAGGAAGUCCUCUCAUAAAUGAAUCAAACAAUAUUUAUGGCAAGUGAGGCAUGCUUGGUGCUGUUAAAGAUUUGCUUAUGAUUGAAUAAUCCUAUUAACUACUAACUUGUUCAUAAUGUUUUUAAACUAGCAUUUUUUAAAUAAUGCUAGUUUAAAAUAUGACCAUAUAUAUAUAUAUAAGAAAAAGAAUACUAUGGACCCUAAAUAUUACUUUAAUCAUUUUAUUAUAUCUUUUAACAUUUUAAUUCAUAAUAAUUUAAAGAUUUUAUUUACGUGUUAGAGUUCUCUUAUUAUUUUAUUUAUGUAUAUAGAUUUUUUUUCUUUUUAAAUUUGAAAAAAAUUUCAAACCUGGCUUGUAAUAUGUCAGUGAAAAAGAAAAUAAAGGGAUGUAGGCAAAGAGCUUAAUUAACUCUUUUGAAGAAACUGCAUGUGGAUUUGCUAGCAUCAAUAUUAACAAAGUAAUUAUUUUUUUGUUUAUUUAGCAAAGAAGCAAAAUAAGCAUAUUUGUUAAGGGUAUAUCAAAGUUACCGUUCAACUUUGCAUUGCCUCUGUAAAGGUAAUGACCGACUGUAUACAACCCCGAAAGCACAGCAUAGUGGUGUUGCAAUUACUGCAGGAAGUUUUAUCCUAGGCUUAUCUUUCAAUUCUGUAUGGCGAAAUUUGAUAAGGAAAAGCAUACAUGAACAAAAAUGAAAAAAGCAGCGAAAACAAGAGAAAAUGCAGACUCAUACCUGAUUCUGAAGCAGACACUCUUAACAUAUAGAUCCUGCCCUUUUGAUUCAAAUUGUCUGCAAUCAAUCAGAUUAUCAAACCAAAGGGCCCAACCACUACCUCUUCCUCUAUUAUCUGAACUAGUGUAUGCCAUAUAGGAAUAGUUCUGUAGAUACUUAGCCCUGCAUCCCUUGAGAUUCAUAGUUUUAGUCACCCAAGAAUGUGUAGCAUCUGGCAUUUUUAAAUCCUUUAAAUCUAAUAAAUCCAUCUCUGCUUUGGCAGUUGAAUGGCUUGUUGUGCUUACACCCUUGGCACCAGUCUGAUGAGUUCUGUCUUUUAGGGAAUUCAGGCUUAAACAUCAGCUUUCAGGGAAUUAAGGCUUGAAUCCUUUAAAAAGUGGAAGCUGAGCACCAUCACAAUUCCCUUUUGAACCACAAAGUCCAUAUCUAUCAAAGUAGUCUCUUGAAGCAAAUGACAGAAGCAUCCAAGCUUGCUUUCUGCAUUUCAUGUGUAGUCCUGUGAUCAAUGAUUUCUAUUUGAGACACUUUGGAUGGUUGACAUAUCAAAUAGAAAUGCCAGGUGGGUAGAUCAUGCGUUGUUUUUAUAAGAUGAUGUGAUUGACUGACUUUUGAUGAAUGAAGCAUACACAAAGUGCAGCAGAAAACAAAUUAUAAACAUUGAGCUUCCAGAUAAUUUGUAUUUCUCAAUAAUAUGAAGCUUAUUCCUCUAAUCAUUCUCUUCAUUGGACGAACAUAACUUCAAUGACUUACUUGUAUUAAAUGAUUUCCAAUUCAUAAACCAUUUGAGACUUUUUUUUCUCACAUCUGAUAGGUUGCAGGAUAGUCCCAAGAAUUGAUCACCAAGUUCAACAGGGUGCCUUCCUUCCUCCCAUAAUCUCCGAGCCUGCAGCAAAUUGAAAACCUUUUAGUCAUUUUAUUAUAUCUUUCAACAUUUUAAUUCAUAAUAAUCGAAGUAUUUUAUUCAAGCGUUAGAGUUUUAUUUAUAGUAGUAAUUAAUUAUUAUUAUUAUUUUUGUAGAUAGAGUGUGUUUUUUUUUCUUUCAAAAUUUGAAAAAAAUUAAAACCAAGUUUGAAAAAUGUGAGUGAAAAUGAAAAUAAAGGAAAGAGAUGGGCAGGUGUAAUAGGAGGGGAUGUAGGAGGUGUUAGAUGGCAAUUGGUGGAGAAAUGCAGAUUGAAGGGUGUUGAGUUUUAGAUUUUGGUAUUAUUCAUAAAACUAAAGACUUGGUUUUGUUUUGAUAUUAAAAAAAAGUAAUUAUUUAGCAAAUGAGAAAUUAAGAGAUAAAAACUCACAAUUAAUGUUUGUGGUUCUUAACAAGAAGCAAGAGCCUUAUAGCCACAUUUAAUCAAACACCUCUUCUCCAUCUCACUCUACCAAUCAAAAUAUCGAAGAAAGGGAGAAAGGACAUUCUUAGUGUGCUAUCCAACAACCCACAUCUGAUGUGAAUGCGAUUGUUAAGACCUAUAUAACAAUUCAAGUUCACCAUUACUAGCAACUUGAGCUUAAACUUUUGAGGGCUACGUGGUUUAGGCCCAAAAAGUUACUAGGCCAAUGGUUGGACUUGGGUCGUUACAAAUGGUAUCAGAACUUGCACCAGUCCGAUGUGAACUUUCACAUUGCUCUGGUGAGAUCUUGGUCCCGUGGAUGUGAUGUGUGGCCUUGAUGAGGACAUCAAGGAUUUGAGUGGGUGGGAUUGUGAUAUCCAACAUCCUACAUCUGAUGUGAAUGUGAUUGUUAAGACCUAUAUAACAAUCCAAGUCCACCAUGGACUUGGGUCGUUACACUUAGCAUCAAGUUGAUCCCAUUCCACUGAUUCCCACCAUUCUCUCGGGCCUAUUCUAAUAUAUUCUAGAGAAGGAGGAGAUGGUUUCCCAUUUUCAACAAGGGGAAGAGACAAAGGGAUCCUCUUUACUUCUGGACAUCUCUCUAUUUGAAGAUAUUGGAGAGAAUCUGCAGGAAUCAUAAGUCCACCACUGUAAAUGCUUUUCAGUUUUGGUAAAUUUCCCAAGAUUAAUGAUUUUAAUUUGGGAAGAAUAAAUGUUGUUCCUUCUUCUUUGUGAUUUUCUUCUAACGCUAUUAUUUCCUCCAUUUCUUCACAACAUUCAACGAAAAUUUUCUCUAAGUUUGGGAGGCCUUGCAACUGCUCAACUGGAAACAACUUCUUCAUCUUCGAACAAAAGCUCAUCAUCAAUAAUUUAAGAGAAGAGAAGAAGGUAGGUGGUGUUGGAGCAUGAGAGGUAGAUUCAAUUUCAACCGCUACUCCUACUCGUACUCUCACAACUUCACACAAGUUUAGCAAGUCAAGUAGUUGUAGCACCUCAAUGUUGUGAAGUGCGUUGCAAGACGGUAAUGACAAGUCAACCACACACUCCAUCCCUUCACACUCCGAAAUUUGACAUUUCUUCAAGUCAGGUGCCUUACGAAACAAAGGAAUGUGGCUUAAACAUUUGAAAUCAUUACACCUCGCAAAACAAAAAGUAUGAAGGUCAUUUGGGAGCAUUAUUUCAUCACACCUCUCUAUCUCCAAAUUUGAGACAUCAACCAUUUUCUCAAUUUCUUUGAAAUAUGGGGAAUGCAUAAUAUGAAUAUUACUAGGUGGUCCCACUUGAAAAAUGAAAGACAUAGGCCAUUUACCUUGUGUAGACUCUGCAUAUUUCUUAAACUCUUGCAUGUCACAAAUGAACAUAAAACACACUCAAGCUUCCUCAAUUUGCCUACUUCUUCCCCCCUUAAAUUUAACUGUACUAGUAAGCAUUGCAGAUGAGAAAUCUUCAGCAAUAUUCCCAUUGGUAGCUCCUUUAGAUCGCUUGACCGUAGACCAAAAUAUCUAAGGUUUUGUAACAUUUCUAUACCCUGAGGUAACUCUUCAAUUUUUGUAUUCCAAAGGUCCAAGUUUCUCAGUGCUUUGAGCUUUGCUAAUGAAGGCACAUAUUCUAACCUGAGACAAUAAGCAAGCAUCAAUGCAUUGAGAUUUUUCAAGUUAGAGAUGGAAUUAGGUAAAUCCACAAUCUCAUGAUUACGAGAAAGAUCUAGAACUUUUAGCCCAGGCAUGUGCUUAAAGAAAGAUUCUGGAAUUCUUUUUAAGCCACAUUGUUGCAAUAUCAAAGUUGACAAAUGAGGACAUUCGGGUGAUAUGUGAGGAGGGAUUUCUAUUAAUUUUGAAUUUUGCAUCAAAGAAACCUUUUCAACACUCACUGUCCAUUCUUGCUCACUUGGUAGUUCCUCCAACUGCACAUUGGCUUUUACUAUGAACUGAUGACCUUUAAUAUACAAUGCCAGGUCUCUCAAAACAUUAUGCAUCUUAACUCCUUUGUCAUUCCAAGUUGUAGCCCUUUCUAGCAAGCAAUUAUUUUGAAGCUUAUUUAAAAUGCUAUGGCCUCUAUCAUGCACUUCUUGUCUAGUCCUUAAGCCAUCAAGGAGUCCUUCAUCUAUCCAAUUUUCAAUUAAGUCAACUUCUUCAAUCACAAAAUCUUCAGGAUAUAAGGAGCAAUAUGAGAAACAAUUUUGAAUUUUUGGAUCUUUCAAAUAGUCAUAACUGAACUUCAAACGCUCAAAUAUUUCAACAUCUGAUCCUUUCACACUUUUCACACGCUCUUCUAAUUCAGUUAAUGCAUUUCUCCACUCACAAAUAUCAUUUACCCCCUUCAUGCUUCCAGCUAUUGUGACAAUGUUAAGUGGUAAACUGCCACAUUACUCAACAAUUUUGUUGACAAUGUCUUUUAAAUUUUGAUCUUGUACAACACUAUGCCCCACAUGUUUUAAGAAUAAGUUCGUGGACUCUGUCUUUGAAAGCGGUUGCACUUUGAUCACCUUACAAUCCAUAGAUUGAUAGACCUUAAUCGAUCUGCUAGUGAGUACAACUUUCCUCCCCAUAUCUAUUAUUGGUUCAGGGAUACCCACAUCCAAUAGAGAAAACCGUUUCCAAACAUCGUCUAAGAUCAAAACAUAUCUCUUUCCCUCCAAAAUAUCUUUUAAUGCUGAUGCUCGUUGCAAUUCAUCAUCUUUUAAAAGAGAUUGUUUCAAAGAAUCUGCAAUAUCUUUUUGCAAUCUAAAAAUAUUCAAUUCUUUUGAUACAGUGACCUAUAUCACUUUAUCAAAGUUCUCACUUUCCUUUAACAAUCGAUUGUUGAUAUGCUUCAUGAUGGUAGUUUUCCCUAUACCACCCAUUCCACAUACUCCAAUCAUUCCAACCUUAUUACCCAUCAAAUACUCCCAAAUUUGUUCUUUUACAUCGAUUUCACCUUCUAGAUUUAGUGUUGGUAACAUCACCCCGGUGGUUGGAGGCCCAUCAACUGCCACACCGUCGGGGAAACUACCUUUUUGGUGAAUUUCCUCUACCUUUUCAAUCAUUCGGCAAACAAAUUUUCCAAGACGACCACGUAAGAAGCAUGAAAUAGCAUGGAACUUGGAUUCAAUCUUUUCCAUUUCAGUGUUUACCUUUUCUACAGCUUCAAACAAGUACUCCACUUCUUCCCUCACCACUUUUCUGUGACGAAGCUCCUCUUCCUUUCUUGAUAUGAGGUCUCUUUUUUGGAUAUUUAAAACAUUCACUUUUUCUCGAAGAUCAUUCAUAUGUUCUUCAAGUUUUCGUUGAUGGUGUAUAUAUGUACAGGUUGGACCACCAAAGCACUUUAUCACUUCAAAAAUUGGCCCUAUAAGCUCCAUAUAAGCUAUUCCCUAGAGAUUAAAAACCAAGAUAUAUUAGAUCUCCAUAUGACAUAAGCUACUCCGUCCCUCCCUAAACUACAAUUCUAUAUUUUUCAUAUAAUAUAGAAUAUGUUAGAAAAAAAUGUUACUAAUUAAAAUUUUUUUACCAAUUCUUAAGAAAAAACAUAAUAUUUUUGAAAACAUUAUUAAAAACAAGAAGUUUUUGUUUCAUCAUCUUUGAGUAUAAUAUUUACAUUUCCAACAAUAUUUAUAUCUAGAUGAAUGUAUUCAUUUUUCCCCUUAAAAAACCAUCGCAAAUUCUUGAAUAUAUUAUAUCUAUAUGGUUCCUAGUUUUGAUCAUUACAACAUUAAUAAAAGGAUGAUGAGAAUGGAGAAAUCAAUUUACUAUAAAUAUAUAAAUGACAAAAUUUUUUAUAAAAAAAGGAAUCCAUUUAAAGUUGAUAACUUGCGUUUCUAACAUGUAUACAUAUUAAAUAAAUGUACCUGUGAAAGAAUCACAGGUACUAGACGAAAAGUAUCCAGUUCUUUAAUAUAUUUAUUUAAAUUGUAUUAUUCUGUAUGACAGAUUCUCCUUUCAAGUAUUCUGUUAUAAACUUUUGAAAUUAAUCUGAAUUUAUAAUUUACAAAGAGAAAAUUAUGUACCCUAGUCUUGAAAUCUUUCCUUGUUGCCGAUAUAGAAAGAUUUGACAAUGUACAUAAUGACAUGAAGUGCCCUGUUUUUUGAUGGAGCUUUAGCAUCAAACUUCAAUUAGCUGAGUUAACCAGAUUGUUAGUUCCUUGAUUGAUUUUCCAAUUAACGAGCCAUAUCAGAAUAUUAGACUUGAGAAAUGGAAUUUUGACUUCUAAGGUCCUAAAAAAGAUUAAUUCACAAAAUACAUAAAAAUAAAAUGUACAAGAUGACGAUGAAAAUCAUUUGUGUAAAGAUAUUGAUGCUGUAUGACAUAUAAUUUUGCUUUUGGUCAAAUAUUGAAAUAUCGUAAGGAACAACGCGUUGAGCUUCCAACAAUGUGUCAGUCAUUUCAUUGGUUGAAGAAGACUUUAAAUGUUUUAACCCCAAAUUACUAUUCAUAACACGUUUUCAUUAAAUAUAUCAGAGAUCAGCUUUUUUCGUUUUGUCCCAAUUUUCUUGGUUUUCACUUUUCAGUGAAUUAAAGACCUAAAAAAUCUUUGUCAUCAAUGGAUAACAUCAUUGGUGAUUACAUUCGAGCCUUCUAUUAAGUUUAUGUAGCAAAUACAAAUAAGUAAUGGCUUAUCAUGCAUUUUUAGUUUUGUUAUGAUGUGAGGAUUAUAUGAGUCUUCCUCAAUGAAACAUCUGAAAAAGUGCAUGAGAAAAAAAUCAAAACAAUUUACAACUGAUGAGAUUGCACAUUACUCUUUUUUCUGAUUUAUAUGAAGCUUCAGUGCAAUCAUCUUGUCAAUUCUUUGUGAGACAACUAUAGAUAACAGUACCCCCAAAAAGGCACUUGCAGGGUGCUAAGCUUAAACUGGGACUGAACCGUUGGUAUCAAUGCAUAAGGUACAAAACAUACUGAUCAUCCACAGCAUCUAAUAAUGGCUUGGAGAUGAAAGAGUUAAGUAUAUAAUAAUCUGAAAAUUAUAUUUGUUAAUUUUUGUUAAUUGUUAAGUUUAUUUAAAAAUUGAGAUUAUUAUCAUUAUUAAAUUAUUUAUAAUUAUGCUAGUUAAUUCUUUUAAGUAAAUUAUUAAAAAUGAUUCCUUUGAAUAAUUUUCAGAAUUUAUUUAUAUAAUUUUCAUAUAAAUUUUUUCCAUUAAGUUGUUUUAUAUUUUUAGCAAACGUUGGACUUCUCGUUUGAAUGUUUUAUAGACAUUAUCUUCAACUCUUCGCCUCCUCAAACGCCAAAAUACAAACUCAGCCACUGCAUAUAACCACUGCAGAACAUUAUCAAAAGCAAUAAAUAUGUGAGGAUUUGUAGACAUUAUGAAAAUAAAGUGACAUUUACUAAGUACCAACCACUCUUUUUCCCAUCAGUUUGGUCUCCUCCAAAAGUUCUAGCCAGUCCAAAACCUGAAAUUUUUGGAUUCAUAUCACUACCAAUCACAACGUUACUAGCUUUGAGAUCUCUAUAAAUAAAAAAAAACUUUCGAUUUGCUAGCUUUACUAUUAACAAAGUAAUUUUUUUUUUGUUUAUUUAGCAAAGGAACGAAAUAAGCAUAAUUAUGAAGGAUAUAUCAAAGUUACCAUUCAACUUUGCACGACCUCUGUAAAGGAAAUGACUGACGCUAAACGGCCCGAAAAGCACAACACAGUGGUGUUGCAAUUAAUGCAGGAAGUUUUAUCCUAGGCUUAUCUUUCAAUUUUGUAUGAUGAAAUUCGAUAAAGAAAAGCAUACAUGAAGAAACACAAAAAAAGCUGCGAAAUCAAGAAAAAAUGUAGACUCAUACCUGAUUCUGAAGCAGACACUUUAACAUAUAGAUCCUGCCCUUUUGAUUGAAAUUGUUUGUAAUCAAUCAAAUGAUGAAACCAAAGGUCCCAACCACUGCCUCUUCCUCUAUUAUCUGAACUAGUGUAUGCCAUAUAGGAAUAGUUCUGUAGAUACUUAACCCUGCAUCCCUUGAGAUUCAUAGUUUUAGUCACCCAAGAAUGUGUAGCAUCUGGCAUUUUCAAAUUUCUUAAAUCUGAUAAAUCCAUCUCUGCUUUGGCAGUUGAAUGGCUUAUUGUGCUUACACCCUUGGGACCAGUCUUAUGAGUUCUAUCCUUCAGGGAAUUCAGGCUUAAACAUCAUCUUUCAGGGAAUUAAAGCUUGAAUCCUUUAAAAAGUGGAAGCUGAGUACCAUCACAAUUCCCUUUUGAACCACAAAGUCCAUAUCUGUCAAAGUAGUCUCUCGGAGCAAAUGAGGAAAGCAUCCAAGCUUGCUUUCUGCAUUUCAUGUGUAGUUAUGUUAUCAAUUAUUUCCAUUUGAGACACUAUGGAUGGUUGACACAUAAAAUAGAAAGACCAGGCUGGUCGAUCAUCCGUUGCUUUUAUAAGAUGAUGUGGUUGACUGACUUUUGAUGAAUGAAGUAUACACAAAGUGCAGCAGAAAACAAAUUAUAAACGUUGAGGUUCCAGAUAAUUCGUAUUUCUCAAUAAUAUGAAGCUUAUUCGUCUAAGCAUAAUAUAUAUAUUUAGAGUAACCACACUAAUCAUAUCAACUUAAACUUACUCAUAAUUUGCAUGCAACAUAAAAUCACCAAAUCUUAUAUAGAUAAUUUAAACUAUUAAUCUUGUUUAAUUAUAUAUGUAUUCAUCAUUUGAAGUGCUUUAAAAUAUUAAUCAUGAUUAAUUUCAAUAUCUUGGUAUUGAUACAUCACUUCCCAAAUAUGCUUUCCUUUUUUCUUUUUUUCCAUAUAUAGACACUCUUUAAUUAGGAGAUUGUAGCCAGCUAGAUACCAUUGUUGCCAGUCCAAGAGGUGACACUUUGGAGGUUGAAUAGCAUUUUAUUUUCGGGUUUUUUAGUCUUGAGAUGAGUGGCAACAUUAAUUCCUUUGGAUCUGUUGAAUUAGCUUUUGUAUAUAAAAGAAGGUAUCCCUCCUCAAACAUGGCAGAUCCCCUUUCAAACCCAUUAUUUUAAAGAAAAGAAAAUGCUAAUUUAAUAGAAUAGUUGCCAACUAGGGACAAGCUCCAUUGAUGUGACAUUAAUUUUGGUAUAUUCUAACACUUGUUGACUAGAUUCAAUUGGACAGGAUUUUUAAUUUGGAUGAAAUUUAAGGGUAGUGAUUAAACAAUGGAAGUGACAUUGGAGGUUCUAAGUCCCUUUCACCUAAGGGAGAAAUGAGUUUGUUCAAUUGACACAGCUUUGGUACAUACAGAAAGUAAGCUAAUACCAUAGCCAUAUUUCUCAGGUGACUUGCAACAAAUUUGAGACUGAAGUAUGGCAAAAUAUUGGGUAUUUGUAUAAAUUACAAUACAAAUAAAGAAAAAAAAUGAAAGAGACUAAAUAGAAAGGGGAAGUGGAAAGGUCCCCAAAAUCAAUUAAUUGCAAGUGGAAGGAGCAAAGCCCAACUUUGUUGGCAACAAGGUCAUGUUCCCGCAGAUGAUUUUGUUGCAGGGUGUUGUAAAUGAUAUUUACUUCCAGGCUCUGUCUUUUGGCAAAUAGAAGCUGAUAAUGGUUCUCUGGAUCAAGCUCAAAUAUAGCUCCAUCUUCAAUAUGAAUUGCAAAUCCUGGCACUGAUGAGAAAAUCAAGCCUUGUUAUUGCUUUUAAUAAAAGCAAAUAAAAUUUGAAGGGUGUUCAGUUGGGCAAUUACUAGUUCCCAAGUAACAGUUUUAACUGCUACUUUCUUUUACCAAAUUCCCAAGAAACUAUUCUUAGAGCUUCUAGGACUAAGGAACAGACUGGGAGGAGGUGAAGAUAUCGAUUCCAUCAGUAAAACAGUGUUGGUGAACAUGAAAGACAGAAUGUCUUUUUGUUUCAAAUUUCAGAGCUUGUAAGAACUCAUAGAAAAACUUUUCAGUUUGGCAGAUUUUAGAGAGCAAACAUGUUUAAACUGAUGAUCGUUGACUAGUAUGCAAGUCUUCCUUGAAAAGACCAAACUUUUCAGUUUGCGGAGAACUCUUAUUUCUAAUUUUUAUGAUGCUUCAGUGUAGUCAUCUUGUAUUGUCUCUGCGAAUCAUAUAUAUAUACAUAUGACCCCCAAGCAGGCACUUGCAGGGCAUUAAGCUCAAACUGGGACUAAACCACUGGUAUCAAAGCAUAAGAGACAUAAACAUACUGGUCGAUAACUUUUAAUAAUGGCUUGGAGAUGAAAGAGCUAAGUAUACAGUUUGUCAAUUAUCGAGCAUCUAGUACUGACAGAGUUAUUUCAUUUGUGGAAGAAGAUACAUGCUUGUCUGAUGAAGAAUCUUCUUCAAGUGGAUUUUUUUAAAACAAAAUACCAGCUUGUUUGGGGUGUGGCAAUUCAGUUUCACUUCCCAACAUCAGAAUCACAAAUGACGUACUUGGCCUCUCCUCAGGAUGCUGUUGUAAACUUAAAAGACUGAUAAUGGAAGUAUUGUAUCACUUCUGAUAGAUUGCAAAGACUCUCCUAAGCAUUCUUCAACAGGUUUUAAAGGACUGUCUUAUUUCCAUAAUCUCCAUGCCUGCAGCAAAUUGAAACCCUUUUAGGUUUUAUCAAUCCAAGAUAAGCAACAAAAAAUUGAUUAUAAAAAUAUCUGCUGAAACUGACAUGUUCAACAAGGUUGCCGCUCUGUGAUGGAUGGUAAAGCCCUCUAUAUUUUCUUCCCACUUAUUAUCUCCAGCAAUAAUAUACCAAAGCUAAAGAGAUCUGAUUUUACUGAAAGCAGUCCAACAAUAGCAUAUUCAGUGCCAUAUAACCUCUGCAGAACAUUAUCAAGAGAAAUAACUAUCUGAGCAUAUGUAGACAUUAUGAAAAUAAAGUGACACUUACUAAGUUCCAACCACUCUUGCAGUGUUCCCUUCAGUUUGGUUUCCUCCAAAGUUCUAAGCAAUCCAAAAUCUGAAAUUUUUGGAUUCAUCUCACUAUCAAGCAGAACGUUACUAGCUUUGACAUCUCUAUGAAUGAAAAAAAACAUAUUCAAAUGAAAUGGCAAAGAAUCUAAUUAACUCUUUUGAAGAAACUGUGUUUGGAUUUGUUAGCAAAGGAACAGAAUAAGCAUAUUUGUGAAGGAUAUAUCAAAGUUACCAUUCAACUUUGCACGACCUCUGUGAAGGAAAUGACUGACAGUAAACAGCCCGAAAAGCACAACACAGUGGCGUUGCAAUUAAUGCAGGAAGUUUUAUCCUAGGCUUAUCUUUCAAUUCUGUAUGAUGAACUUUGAUAAAGAAAAGCAUACAUGAACAAAAACAAAAAAAGCAGCGAAAACAAGAGAAAAUGUAGACUCAUACCUGAUUCUGAAGCAGACAUUAUUAACAUAUAAGUCCUGCUCUUUUGAUUGAAAUUGUCUAUAAUCAAUCAGAUGAUGAAACCAAAGGGCCCAAACACUACCUCUUCCUCUGUUAUCUGAACUAGUGUAUGCCAUAAGGGAAUAGUUCUGUAGAUACUUAGCCUUGCAUCCCUUGAGUUUCAUAGCUUUAGUCACCUAAGAAAGUGUAGCAUCUGGCAUUUUCAAAUCUUUUAAAUCUGAUAAAUCCAUAUCUGCUUUGGCAGUUGAAUGGCUUAUUCUGUGCUUACACCCUUGGGGUCAGUCUGAUGAGUUCUAUCUUUCAGGGAAUUCAGGCUUAAACAUCAGCUUUCAGGGAAUCAAGGCUUGAAUCCUUUAAAAAGUGGAAGCUGAGUACCAUCACGAUGCCCUUUUGAACCACAAAGUCCAUAUCUGUCAAAAUAGUCUCUUGGAGCAAAUGAGAAAAGCAUCCAAGCUUACUUUCUGCAUUUCAUGUGUAGUCCUGUGAUCAAUGAUUUCUAUUUGAGACACUUAGGAUGGUUGACAUAUAAAAUACAAAUACCAGGUGGGUAGAUCAUGCGUUGUUUUUAUAAGAUGAUGUGAUUGACUGACUUUUGAUAAAUGAAGUAUACAGAAAGUGCAGCAGAAAACAAAUUAUAAACAUUGAGGUUCCAGAUAAUUUAUAUUAUUUAAUGAUUUGAAGCUUAUUCCUCUAAUCAUUCUCUUCACUGGACAAACAUAACUUCAAUGACUUACUUGCAUUAAAUGAUUUCCAAUUCAUGAACCAUUUGAGACCAGUGUGGAUGUGUUGUCUCACAUCUGAUAGGUUGCAGGAUAGUCCUAAGAAUUGAUCACCAAGUUCAACAGGGGUGCCUUCGUUCCUCCCAUUAUCUCCAAGCCUGCAGCAAAUUGAAAACCUUUUAGUCAUUUUGUUAUAUCUUUCAACAUUUUAAUUCAUAAUAAUCAAAGAAUUUUUGAAACAUGCGAGUGAAAAUGAAAAUAAAGGAAACGGGUGGGAAGGUGUAAUAGGAGGGGAUGUAGGAAAUGUCACAUAGCAAUUGGCGGAGAAAUGCAGAUUGAAGGGUGUUGAGUUGGAGAUUUAUUUUUAUAUUAAAAAAUAAAAAAUUAAAGACUUGGUUUUAUUUUGAUAUUAAAAAAGAGUAAUUAUUUAGCAAAUGAGAAAUUCGGAGAUAAAAAUAAACUCACAAUGUUUGUUUGCAGUUUUUAAUAAGAAGCAAGAGCCUUGCAACCACAUUUAAUCAAACACCUCUUCUACAAUUCAGACAUAAAGCUAGCCUUGUACCAUCCAAAAAAUAUUCAACAAAGGGAGAAAGGACAUCCUUAGCAUCAGGCUGAUCCCAUUCCACUGAUUCCCACCAUUCUCUCGGCCAUACUGUGAUUCCUUUUAGAGAAGGAGGAGGAGAUGGUUUCCCAUUUUCAACAAGGGGAAGAGACAAAGGGAUCCUCUUUACCGCUCUACACCCCGAUAUGACAAGAUGUUGGAGAGAAUCUGCAGGAAUCAUAAGUCCACCGCUACAAAUGCUUUUCAAUUUUGGUAAGUUAAUCAAGAAUAAUGAUUUUAAUUUGGGAAGAAUAAAUGUUGUUCCUUCUUCUUUCUGAUUUUCUUCUGAUGCUAUUAUUUCCUCCAUUUCUUCACAACCUCGGACAUAAAUUUCCUCUAAGUUUUGGAGGCUCUUCAACGGCUCGAUUGUAAGCAACUUCUUCACCCUCGAACAACCAAUCACAUAUAAUUGUUUAAGAGAAGAGAAGGCAGGUGGUGUUGGAGCAUGAGAGGUAGAUUCAAAUUCAACCGCUACUCCUACUUCUACUCCUACUCUCACAACUUCACGCAAGUUGCGUAAGAAACAUAGUUGUAACACCUCAAUGUUGUGAAGUGCGUCGCAAGACGAUAAUGACAAGUCAACCACACACUCUAUCCCAGAACACUUCCUAAUUUGACAUAACUUCAAGUCAGGUGCCUUAUGAAACAAAGGAAUAUUGCUUAAACAUUUGAAAUCAUUACACUCCUCAAUAAGUAAAGGGUGAAGGUCAUUUGGGAGCACUAUAUCAUCACACCUCUCUAUCUCCAAAUUUCUAAAUUCAACCUUUUUCUUAAUUUCUUUGAAAUCUGGGAAUCCCCGAUAUAAAUACCCUUAAGUGGUCCCACUUGAAAAAAGAAAGAUGGAGGCCAUUUACCUUGUGCAGACUUUACAUAUUUCUUAAACUCUUGCAUGUUGCGAAAUGAACAUGAAACCCACUCAAGGUUCCUCAAUUUGCCCACUUCUUCCCCUCUUAAAUGUAACUCUCCCAGCAAGCAUUGCAGAUGAGAAAUCUUCACUAAUAUUCCUAUUGGUAGCUCCUUUAGAUGCCUUGACCUUAGACGAAAAUAUCUAAGGUUUUGUAACAUUUCUAUACCAUGAGGAAGCUCUUCAAUUCCUGUACCAUAAAGGUCCAACUUUCUCAGUGCUCUGAGCUCUGCUAAUGAAGGCACAUAUUUUAACCUGCCACAACUAGCAAGUAUCAAUGCAUCGAGGUUUUUCAAGUUAGAGAUGGAAUUGGGUAGAUCCUCCAAGUAAUAAUUACUAUAAAGAUUUAGAACUUUUAGUCUAGGCAUGUGCUUAAAGAAAGAUUCAGGAAUACUUUUUAAGCCACAUUGUUGCAAAAUCAAAGUUGACAAAUGAGGACACUCAGGUGAUAUGUGAGGAGGGAUUUCUAUUAAUUUUGAAUUUUGCAUCAAAGAAACCUUCUCAACACUCACUGUCCAUUCUUGCUCACUUGGGAAUUCUUUCAAUUGCAUACCUGCUUUUACCAUGAACUGAUGACCUUUAAUAUACAACGCCAUGUCCCUCAAAACAUCAUGCAUCUUAACUCCUUCUUUGCGACUCCUAGUUGUAGCCCUCUCUAGCAAGCAAUUAUUUUCAAGCUUAUUUAAAAUGCUAUGGCCUCUGUCAUGCAUUUCUUGUCUAGUCCUUAAGCCAUCAAGGAGUCCUUCAUCUAUCCAAUUUUCAAUUAAUUCAACUUCUCCAAUCACAAAAUCUUCAGAAUACAAGGAGCAAUAUAAGAAACAAUUUUGAAUUUUUGGAUCUUUCAAAUAGUCAUAACUGAACUUCAAACGCUCAAAUAUUUCAACAUCCGAUCCUUUCACACUUUUCACACGCUCUUUUAAUUCCAUUAAUGCAUUUCUCCACUCACAAAUAUCAUUUACCCCCUUCAUGCUUCCAGCUAUUGUGACAAUGCUAAGUGGUAAACCACCACAUUGCUCAACAAUUUUGUUGACAAUGUCUUUUAAAUUUUGAUCUUGUACAACACCAUGCCCCACACGAUCUAAGAAUAAGUUCAUGGACUCUGUCUUUGAAAGCGGUUGCACUUUGACCACCUUACAAUCCAUAGAUUGGCAGACCUCAAUCAAUCUACUAGUGAGUACAACUUUCCUCCCCAUACCUAUUGUUGGUUCAGGGAUACCCACAUCCAAUAGAGAAAACCGUUUCCAAACAUCGUCUAAGAUCAACACAUAUCUUUUUCCCUCCAAAAUAUCUUUUAAUGUUGAUGCUCUUUGCAGUUCAUCAUAUUUUGGAAGAGACUCUUUCAAAGAAUCUGCAAUAUCUUUUUGCAAUCUAAAAAUAUUCAAUUCUUUUGAUACAGUGAUCCAUAUCACUUGAUCAAACUUCUCACUUUCCUUUAACAAUCGAUUGUUGAUAUGCUUCAUGAUAGUAGUUUUCCCUAUACCACCCAUUCCACAUACUCCAAUCAUUCCAACCUUAUUACCCAUCAAAUACUCCCAAAUUUGUUCUUUUACAUCGAUUUCACCUUCUAGAUUUGGUGUUGGUAACAUCACCCCGGUGGUUGGAGGCCCAUCAACUGCCACAUUGUUAGGGAAACUACCGUUUUGGUGAAUUUCCUUUACCUCUUCAAUCAUUCGGCAAACAAAUUUUCCAAGACGACCACGUAAGAAGUAUGAAACAACAUGGAACUUGGUUUCAAUCUCUUCCAUUUCAGUGUUAACCUUUUCUACAGCUUUAAACCAGUACUCCACUUCUUCCCUCACCACUUUUCUGUGACGAAGCUCCUCUUCCUUUCUUGAUAUGAGGUCUCUCUUUCGGAUGUUUAAAACAUUCACUUUUUCUCGAAGAUCAUUCAUAUGUUCUUCAAGUUUUCGGUGAUGGUCAAUGUAUGUACAGGUUGGACCACCAAAGCACUUUAUCACUUCAAAAAUUUGCCCUAUAAGCUCCAUAUAAGCUAUUCCCUAGAGAUUAAACCAAGAUAUAUUAGAUCUCCAUAUGACAUAAGCUACUCCCUCCCUAAACUACAAUUCUAUAUUUUUCAUAUAAUACAGAAUAUGUUAGAAAAAAAUCUUACUAAUUAAAAUUUUUUUACCAAUUCUUCUUAAGAAAAAACAUAAUAUUUUUGAAAACAUUAUAAAAAACAAGAAGUUUUUGUUUCCGUCACUUAAUUACUAUAAUUAUUUUCCACCUAAUUAAGAGAAAAGAAGCAUGACAUAGACCAAUGAACAAAAAUAAUUAUGUGAAAGGAAAGAUGAUGAACCUAUGUUAUGAAUCUAAAACAUGAAUCCAAAUCAAUAUUAAACAAUUUAAUUUAUCUAGUCAAGUGAGGCAGAUGAGCUGGUACUUCUUCUAUUCUUAGAGUUUCUUGAUUAAGUUUGUAAAAGCAGAUCUCCUUGCAAAAAAUUGUCAAGAAAAUAGCAUCAAGCAGAUCUCCUUCCAAAAUAUCCUCUAUGAGAAGAAAAUGAGUAAUGAAGCACAUGAAUUAUUGAAAAGUGGGCAAGAUUAAUAUUUAUGUAAGAAACUAAAAUAAAUGCCCAAUUUGUGUCUUAAUAUUUAUAUAAAACUUAUGAUAAGAUGAAUUUGUGUUAUAAUUUAAGAUUUCGAUUAAUUAAUGUUAUCAAAGAUAAAACUAAAUCAUAAGUAUAGACAACCUACUUAAUUCCGUGAGGCAGGGAAGUGAUACUUCUAUCUUCAGAAGGCCCUUAAUAAAUUUGAGAAACAAGCCCAAUCAAGAAAAAUAGCAAUAACAAAUAGAUUAUCUCCUUGCGAAAAAGAAAAUCCUGAUCCUCCGAGAGAAGAGAAUUAUUGAAUUAUGAAGCAGAAAAGAAUUAAAGUCGGCAACUCAAUGCAAAGUUGAAUUAUUUUCAACCUAAUUAGGCAAAAAAGGAAAAAGAAUAGAAGCAUAAAAUAAAGAGAAAGACCCAAAAGAAAGUUUUAUGGAGUUUGUUGAAAGAUGAAUUUAUGGCAGAAGGUAAGAUUCAGAGAUGGUACCAAAGAUGAAAAAUAUAAGCGUAGAUACUUCAGCUUGUUGAUAUCACUAAGCAGAUCUCCUUGCAAAUUCCUGUGUAAUGAGAAGAGAAGGAAUUAUGAAGCAAAUAAGUCAAUGCAAGUCAUGACAUUGGUUUCGGGGUCACUUCCCUUAAAGCUGCUUUGAAAUAAAGAAAAUAUAAAUAAAAUAAAAGAUGAUGAAGUGAGCCUGAACACUCGUUCAUUUUUCUUAAAGAAACAAUAAUCUAAGUUAGGACAAAAAGGAAGCAUCCGAGAAGGAUCCUGCGUAAAUUUUUACCAUUAAAUUACUUUGUGAAAAGACAAAGUUAGGUGCGAAUUGAGCACAAGGAAAGAUGAAGCAAUUAAAAAUUCAUCCAUUGUGUUAGUGGCGAAAUAAAAUAAUGAAAAGUUAGAGAAAUAGGGAGUCAUGAUUAGUGACUUGUGGGGUAGUAAUUGGAUUCCCCUUCUAGGUGUUUUGUGUUAUGCCAUAAACUUAUUACAUUAAUCUGAAUUUAUAAUUUAUAAAGAGAAUUAUUUCAACCUGAAAACUGAAAAAUAAGUAUCCCAAUCUGCAAUAGAAUGAUUUGACUAUGCACAGAAUGUGCAUAAGCUAUGAUCUACUGAAUGUAGUCCAUUUUAUAAGGGGACAAGAAACGAAUUGCCCUGUUCUUUGAUGGAGCUUCAGCAUCAUGCUUCAACCAGAAGUUUUCUACUGAGUUAACCGGAUUGUUAGUUCCUUGAUUGAUUUUCUAGUUAAUGAGCCAUAUCAGAUUACUUAGACUUGAGAAAUAGAAUUUCAACUUCUAAGGUUCUAAAUGUGACUAGUUCACAAAAUAUAUAGAAAUAUAAGGUACAAGAAGAUGAUGAUGAAGAUCAUUAAGUAAAGAUAUUGAUGAAGUGUGACGGUCAUUUCAUUGUUGAAGAUGAUUCAUGGCCGCCCCGUGGAACUGCUUCAAAAUAGUUCUUUUCAGAUAGUCCUAAAUAAUUGCUGCUGCACACACAACAGACAAAUGUGGAUGCAGCUUAUCACUUCUGAUAGAGCAGAGGACUCCCCUAAGAAUAUGGAUCAUCUGCUAGUUCAAAUUGUCUUGACUCUUUCCACAAUCUCCAUUCCUGAUACAUAUCAAAACCAUUUUGUCAUUUAUUAGUUUGAAAACUUAAUUAGUUAAAUGAUAAUACAUUGCACAACACUUACAUGUCCAACAAGGCUCAACAUUGGUUGAUAAAACCUUCUAUUCUUCUCUCCACAUAUUAUCUCCAGCAAUAGCCAAAUAUAGUACCCAUCAACAAGUGGGUUAAUUUAUCCUUACCCCAUCAACCUUAAGUUAAGCUUUUGUUUUGGUCUGAUAGUUUAGGUGCACAAUCGAUCAAGAAGUGGAAUUUUUUCUGUCAAUAGCAAAAAUUAAAAUCAGAAACUGUUUUUUGACCAAGAAAAGAAGCAAAUAAUUGAAAUUUUGUAGUUUUAAGAAGGAAGCAAGACGAUUACCAGACGAGAAGCUGUGUUCAGCCAAAUGAAAAGGCAAUAGCAUUUCCUUAGCAUUAGGAUCAUCCCAUUCCAGUGAUUCCCACCAUUCUUCUGGAUAUAAAACGAUUUGCUCAACAGGAGGAGUGGGAGGAGAUGGUAGUCCAUUUUCAAGCAGGGGAAGAGAUAAGGGGAUCCUUUUUAACUUCGGACAUUCUAUUACCUCAAGAUAUUGACGAGAGUUUGUUGGAAUCAUAAGUCCAAAAACCACAAAUGCUUUUCUGCUCUGGUAAUUUCAACAAGGAAAGUUUCCUUAAUUUGGGAAGAAUAAAUGUUAUGUGGUAAUUGCCCUUCCUGCCUCAAUUUCCUCCAACUUUUGAAAACCCUACAGCAGCUUAAUUGAACACAACUUCUUCAUACUCGAACAGUUUCUCAAGCAAAACCUUUUGAGAGAAGAGAAAAUGGGAGGUGGUGUUGGGAUGUGAGAUGGAGAUACACAUAGAUUCAUGGUUUUCAUGAAUAAGAUAAAAAUGUUAUGAUCACCAUUUAAACAUAAUAUAUAUAUUAUAUAUAAUAUAUAUAUAUAUUAGAGUAAUCACACUAAUCAUAUCAAAUUAAACUUAUACUCAUAAUUUGCGUGCAACAUCAAAUCACCAAAUCUUAUACAGAUAAUUUAAACUAUUAAUCUUGUUUAAUUAUAUAUGUAUUCAUCAUUUGAAGGGCUUUGUAAAUUUAUAAAGUAAACAACAAUAAGCAAUAAUUAUGUUUAUUUUCAAUAUCUUGGUAUUGAUACAUCACUUCCCAAAUAUGCUUUCCUUUUCUUUUUCAUACAUAGACAUUGUCUUGUUUGGAGAUUGUAGCUAGCUAGAUACCAUUAUUGCCAGUCCAAGAGGUGACACUUUGGAGAUUGAAUAGAAUUUAAUUUUCAGGUGUUUUGGUCUUGAGAUGAGUGUCAACAUUAAUUCCUUUGGAUCUCUUGAAUUAGCUUUUGUAAAUAAAAGAAGGUAUCCCUCCUCAAACAUGGAAAAUCCCCUUUCAAACCUAUAAUUUUAAAGAAAGAAAAUCCUAAUUUAAUAGAUUAGUUGCCAACUAGGGACAAGCUCCGUUGAUGUGACAUUAAUUUUGGUAUAUUCUAACACUUGUUGACUAGAUUCAAUUGGAUAGGAUUUUUAAUUUGGGUGAAAUUUACGGGUACUGAUUAAACAAUGGAAGUGACAUUGGAGGUUCUAAGUCCCUUUCACCUAAGAGAGAAAUGAGUUUGUUCAAUUGACACAGCUUUGGUACAAACAGAAAGUAAGCUAAUACCAUAUCCAUAUUUCUCAUGUGACUUGCAACAAAUUUAAGACUGAAGUAUGGCAAAAUAUUGGGUAUUUGUAUAAAUUACAAUACAGAUAAAGAAAAAAAAAAAAGAAAGAGACUAAAUAGAAAGGGGAAGUGGAAAGAUCCCCAAAAUCAAUUAGUUGCAAGUGGAAGGAGCAAAGCCCAACUUUGUUGGCAACAAGGUCAUGUUCCCACAGAUGAUUUUGUUGCAGAGUGUUGUCAAUAAUAUUUACUUCCAAGCUGUCUUUUGGUAAAUAGAAGCUGAUAAUGGUUAUCUGGAUCAAGCUCAAAUAUAGCUCCAUCUUCAAAAAUGAAUUGCAAAUCUUGACACUGAUGAGAAAAUCAAGCCUUUUUAUUGCUUUUAAUAAAAGCGUAUAAAAUUUGAAGGGUGCUCAGUUGGGGAAUUACUAGUUCCCAAGUAAUAGUUUUAACUGCUACUUUCUUGUACCAAAUUCCCAAGAAACGAUUCUUAGAGCUUCCAGGACAAAGAAACCAAGCUUAAGGAUUCCAUCCAUCACUAACAGACUGGGAGGAGGUGGAGAUAUCGAUUCCAUCAGCAAUACUUAAAAACAAUAUUAGCAAAAUGGUGUUGGUGAACAUGAAAGACAGAAUGUCUAUUUGUCUCAACUUUCAGAGCUUGUAAAACUUAUAGAAAAACUUUUCAGUUUGGCAGAUUUUAGAGAGCAAACAUAUUUAAACUGAUGGUCGUUGACUAGUAUGCAAGUCUUCCUUGAAAAGACCAAACUUUUCAGGUUGCACAGAAUUCUUAUUUCUGAUUUUUAUGAGGCUUCAGUGUAGUCAUCUUGUAUUGUCUCUGUGAAUUGUAUAUACAUAUUAUACCCCCAAGUGGGCACUUGCAGGGUGCUAAGCUCAAACUGGGACUAAACCACUGGUAUCAAAGCAUAAGGGACAUAAACAUACGGAUCGAUAGCCUAUAAUAAUGGCUUGGAGAUGAAAGAGCUUAAGUAUACAGUUUAUCAAUUAUCGAGCAUCUAGUACUGACAGAGUUAUUUCAUUUGUGGAAGAAGAUACAUGCUUGUCUGAUGAAGAAUCUUCUUCAAGUGGACUUUUCUUAGACAAAAUACCAGGUUGUUUGGGGUGUGGCAAUUCAGUUUCACUUCCCAACAUCAGAAUCACAAAUGACAUACGUGGCCUCUCCUCAGGGAUUUUGUCAUUUAUCAGUUAGAAAUGUUGAAAAUCUCAAGGAUUUUGUUAUAUUUGCAGACCAUUAUCUGUUAAAAUGAUAAAGAUAAAACGAGAGAGAAAAUAUAAUUGAACACAAAGUCUCCCUACAGUCUUUUCAUUCAACAAUAACACUUAUAAAUACAUUUACAGGAGAGAGAAGACAACAAUAAAAUAAAACAACACGUAAAGUAAAAUAACUGCACAAUAUCCAUAUCUUACAUAAUCACCUACUUUACAAUACAAACCCACUACCUAACAUAACAAUAACUGACUCAACAUGACAAUAAUUGUAAAAGAGAAAAUAAACUGAUAUUAACUAAUAAAUUAAAAAAUUGUUGAGAAUAACUGAAUCUGAUUCUUCAAGUCAAAUCUCAUUCUUCAACAAAACUUGAUUAGUUAAAUGAUAAUACAUUUCACAACACUUUUAUGUCCAACGAGGCUCAACACUUUUGUCUGGUUGAUAAAAGCUUCUAUUUUACCUUCCACAAAUUAUCUCCAGCAAUAAUAUACCAAAGCUAAAUACACUACCCAUCAAGAAGUGGGUUAAAUUAUCCUUAACCCAUCAACAUUAAGUUAAGCCUUUGUUUUGGUCUGAUAGUUUAGGUGCGCAAUCGAUCAAGAGGUAGAAUUUUUUCUGUCAAUAAUAAAAAUUAAAAUCAGAAACUAUUUUUUGACAAAAAACAGAAGCUAAUAAUUGAAAUUUUGUAGUUUUAAGAAGGAAGCAAGACGAUUACUAGACGAGAAGCUGUGUACAGCCAAAUGAAAAGGCAAAAGCAUUUCCCUAACAUUAGGAUCAUCCCAUUCCACUGAUUCCCACCAAGUAAUUGUUUGGCCCUUGAUCCAAUAUAGACUUGGUGUAUUCUACUGAGAUUUGUAAAUUUAUUUUCUUAAAUUGAAAGCACUGUUGUGAAGAUUUUUCCCUUUCGAAAUGAUUGGUUUUUCAAUGUCAGACAAAUUAAGAAUACACCAUACUUUAGAAAUGGAAACAUAUAUAAACUACUUAUUAAAUUACUACAACAUCAAGCAAAUUACUGUAAUGAACAAGUGAUAAUGAAGUCAAUAUAAUCCAAGAAGAUAGAUUGAAGGGAGUUCAGUUGGCUAAUUGAUGCAGAGAAUAUUUGGAGCAGACUGGGUUAAUCCUUGUCCAAAACUCCUUGAAAGCCUCUUCAUAGCAAUUUCCUGUGACCAUUUACUAAGAUAGAUUGAAAGACCGCCUGCAAAUAGGAGAGAAGAAAAUGUUGAUGUAACGACCCAAGUCCAAUCACCGGCCCAGCAACUUUUCGAACCUAAACCAAUCACUGGCCUAGCAACUUUUCGAACCUAAACCACAUGGCCCUUAAAAGCUUAAGCUUAAGUUACUAGUAGUGAUGGACUUGGAUUGUUAUAUAGGUAUUAACAAUCAUAUUCAUAUUAGACGUGAGAUUUGAGGUAUCACAAUCCGACCCAUUCAGAUCCUUGAUGUCAUCAUCAAGACCACACAUCACAUUCACGAGACCAAGAUCUCAUUAGAGCAAUGUGAAAGCUCACAUCGGACUAGCGCAAGCUCUUAUACCAUUUGUAAUGACCCAAGUCCAAUCAUUGGCCCAGCAGCUUUUCGGACCUAAACCACAUGUACCUCAAAAGUUGAAACUCAAGUUACUAGUAAUGAUGGACUUAGAUUGUUAUAUAAGUUUUAACAAUCAUAUUUAUAUCAGAUGUGGGAUGUGAGGUAUCACAAUGAACUUGAGUUUAAGUUUUUGAUGACCAUGUGGUUUAAGUCUAAAAAGCUGUUGGGCCAGUGAUUGGAUUUGAGUCAUUACAAAUGGUAUCAGAGCCUACGCCAGUCCGAUGUGAGUUUUCACAUUGCUCUUAUGAGAUCUUAUUCUCGUGGAUGUGAUGUAUGGCCUUGAUGAGAACAUCAAAGAUUUGAGUUGGUGGGAUUGUGAUAUCUCACAUCCCACAUCUGAUAUGAAUGUGAUUGUUAAAACCUAUAUAACAAUUCGAGUCUAUCACUACUAGUAACUUGAGCUUAACUUUUUAAGGACCAUGUGGUUUAGGUCCUAAAAGCUAUUGGGCCAAUGAUUGGACUUGGGUUGUUACAGUUGAUUAACAUCAACAAGUACAUCCCCUAGAUAAAUGAAUAAAAAUAAACACAGAAUGUGGAUAAAAAUAAACUGAGACUAUUUGCAGUUUUAAGAAAAAACGUUGAGGACUUUACCGAUGUGAACCGUCGAGCCACAUUUAAUGGAGUAGAUUUUCUCCAUCUCAUUCUACCAAAUAAAAACAAAGGGAGAAAAGACAUGCUUAGCAUCAAGGUGAUCCCAUUGCACUGAUUCCCACCAUUCACUCUGGCUUACAUUGAUUUCUUCUAGAAAAGGAAGAGGACAUGGUUGCCCAUUUUCAAAAAGGGCAAGACACAAAGGGAUCCUCUUUAGAUUUGGACAUUUCCAUAUUCGAAGAUUUCGGAGAGAAUCUGUAGGAAUCACAACUCCACCACUGUAAAUGCUUUUCAAUUUUGGUAAGUAGAUCAUCCAUAAUGAUUUUAAUUUAAGCAGAAUGAAUGUUGUUCUUUCUCCUUUACGAUUUUCUUCUUAUUCUGAUGCUAUUAUUUCCUCUAUUUCUUUAUAGUCUUCAACUUUAAUUUCCUGUAAGUUUUAGAGACCUUGCAACAACUCAAUUGGGAACAACUUCUUCAUCUUCCAACACAAAUCUAGAUGCAAUAAUUUAAGAGAAAAGAAGAUGGUAGGUGGGGUUAGAGGAGGAGAGGUAGAACCAAAUUCAAGCGCUACUCUUACUCUCACAUGUUCAUGCAAGUUCCACAAUGACUUAAGGAAUAUCUUCUUAAUGUCAUCAAGUGUGUUGCAAGGCGACAAUGACAAGUCAACCACACACGCCGUCCCUUUACACUCCUCAAUUUAACAUAUCUUCAAGUUAGUUGCCUUACGAAACAAAGGAAUAUUGCUUAAACAUUUGAAAUCAUUACACUUCCCAAUACGUAAAGUAUGAAGGCCAUUUGGGACUAGUGUAUCUUCUAUUUUCUCCAUCUCACAAUGCAUGAAUGUUAUCUGCUUUUCAAGUUUCUCUAAAUUUUGGACAGGUAGACUAUGUAAAACCUCAGAUGAUCCUACUUCAGGAUAAAGAUUUUUAGGCCAUUUACCUUGUAUAGACUUUGCAUAUCUUGAACUCUUACAAGUCACAAAAUGAACAUGAAAGAAUCUCAAGCUUCAUCAAUUUGCCUUCUUCUUCUCCCAUUAAAUGCGGCCCUACUAUUAAGCAUUGGAGAUGAGACAUCAUCAGCAAUAUUCCUACAGGCAGCUCUUUUAUAUUAGAUGACCAUAGACGGAGAUAUCUAAGGAUUUCUAACUUUUUUAUUCCAUGAGGAGCCUCUUCAAUUCCCAUAUACAAAAGGUCCAACUUUUUAAUGCUCUAAGCUUUGCCGAGGAAGGCACACAUUUUAAUAUGUAACAACAAAAAAGUAUCAAUGCAUUAAGAUUUUUCAAGUUACAGAUGGAAUUGGGUAGAUCUACAAUCUGAGUACGAGAAAGAUCUAAAACUUUUAGGUCAGACAUGUACUUAAAUAAAGAUUCUGGAAUCCUUCUUAAGCCACAGUUUUGCAAUAUCAAAGUUGACAAACGAGGACAUUCAGGUGAUAUGUGAGGAGGGAUUUCUAUUAAUUUUGAAUUGUCUAAUAUCAAGGAAACCUUCUCAACACUCAUUGUCCAUUCCUGCUUAAUUGGUAGUUCCUUUAAUUGCAUGUAUUGAUGACCACUACUUUUAACAUACAAUGCCACGUCUCUCAAAACAUCAUGCAUCUUAACUUCUUCCGUAUAAUCAGUUGUAGUCCUUUUUAACAAGCAAUUAUUUUCAAGCUUAUUUAAAAUGCUAUGGCCUUUGUCAUACAUUGCUUGUCUAGUCCCUAAGCUAUCAAGGAGUCCCUCAUCUAUCCAUUUUUCAAUUAAGUCUGUUUUUCUAAUUCUAAAAUCCUCAAGAUACAAGGAGCAAUAUAAGAAAUGAUUUUGGAUUUCUAGAUCUCCCAAAUGGUCAUAAUUGAACUUUAAACACUCAAAUUUUUCAAUGUUCGACCCUUUCACAAUUUUCACUUGCUCCUCUAAUUCAUUUAGUGCAUUCCUUCACUCACAAAUAUCAUCUACUUCUACCCCUUUUAGGCUACUAGCCAUUGUCACAAUGAAAAGUGGUAAACCGCCACAUUGCUCAACAAUUUUGUUGACAAUAUCUUUUAAAUUUUGAUCUUGUAUAACACUAUACCCCACACAAUCUAAGAAUAUAUUCAUGGACUCUUUUUUUGAAAGCGGUUGCACUUUGACCACCUCACAACCCAUAGAUUUAUAGACCUCAAUUGAUGUACUAGUGAAAACUACUUUCCUCCCCAUACUUAAUGUUGGUUUUGGGAUUUCCUCAUUUAGUAGAGAAAGUCAUUUCCAAACAUCGUCUAAGAUCAACACAUAUCUCUUUUUCUCUAAAAUAUCUUUUAAUGUUGCUACUCGUUGCAAGUCAUCUACUGGAAGAGAUUAUUUCAAAAAAUUUGUAAUAUCUUGUUGCAAUUUGAAAAUAUUCAAUUCUUUUCAUAUAGUGACCCAUAUCACUUGAUCAAAUCAAUUAUCCUUCAACAAUUGAUUAUUGAUAUGCUUCAUGAUUGUAGUUUUCCCUAUACCACCCAUUCCACAUACUCCAAUCAUUCCAACCUCUUCACCCAUCAGAUACUCUGAAAUUUGCUCUUUCAUAUUGAUUUCACCCUCUAGAUUUGGUGUUGCUAAUGUCAUCCCAGCAAUUGAAGGCCCAUCAACCGCCACACCAUCAGGGAAACAACCUUGUUGGUAAAUUUCCAUUACUCCUUCAAUCUUUCCGCAAAGAAAUUUUCCUAGAUGGCCGCAUAAUAAGUAUGAAACAGCACAGAACUUCUUUUCAAUCUCUUUCAUUUCAGUCUUUACCCUUUGUACCUCUUUAAACCAGUUCUCCACUUCUUUCUUCACCUCUUUUCUGUGACGAAGCUCCGCAUCCUUAAUGGAUUCAACAUCUUUCUUUCGAGAUUUCAAAGCAUCCACUUUCCUUCGAAGCUCAUUCAUAUGUUCUGCAGGUUUUCGAUGAUGAUCUAUGUAUCUAUAGGUUGGAUCCCAAAAAUACUUUAUCACUUCAUAAAUUAGCCCUAAAAAGUCCAUAUAAGCUACACCCUAUAAUUUAAUAAACCAACUUAUAUUACAUCUCUACAUGAUAUAAGCUACUCCCUGUACUAAAAUUCAAUAAAAUAAUAUGUAGCCUAUACGUUACAAAAAAAAUGUUACAAAAUAAUAAAUUUUUAAUUUCAAAAUUGGAAGACUAAAUUUACUAUAUGUGAUUUUUUUAUAUAUUUUACACAUUUAAUACGAAUUCAAAUGAGAUUAGGCAAGAAUUUGUAAUUGUUAGCCUAAGUGAACAUAGAAUGACCAUUUAAUGUUAAAUAUUCAAAUUCAAAAAUGGAUAUUGUCACCCAAAAAUGUAUUUGCUAGCAUAACUCAAAUAAAAGGAAAACUUUAUAAUAUUAAAAUUUGCAUUGAUUUCACUGUUUUCUCUACCAAUUGUUUCAAAUAGCGUUUAUUGCUAUUAAUUUUUUUGACCAUGACUCCUAAUUUGAUUUUUGUUUCAUACUUAUUACUUAUUUAAUUGUUCACAUUCAUAAUUCAGAGUUUACCUUAUAUGGUUACUUCAACUUUACCUCUUAAAAUAUGAGAUAUCUUGAAAUUAAUGCUAUAAAUUGCAAAUUUUUUCUACUUACUUGGUAUGUUUUUGUUAAAGAUUAUAUAUAGUUUCUUAGGCUAUUCUCCACUCAUAUUUAGUUUCUAUGUUUCCCUAAUCCAAAUUUCCAUCAUCAAAAGUUUGAUUUCUUCUUUUUGCAGACCUCUUUGAAUUAUUCAAUUUUGUCUAUAUAUGUAUUUUGACCUCAUUGAUUUAUAAUUAUUUAGUAGUUAUGUAUUUCAACCUCUUUAAUGAACUAUUCAAUUUCUUAAUUUAUUUUCUUUAGUCAAUUGUUUUACUGUAUUCAUAUGAGUAGAUUUUCAUCAGAAUCAUUUAAUCUUCUAAGACGUUAUUCAUUAACAUGGAUACUUCCAACUUAAUUUUUUUUUACAUUCUACUUUAUAUUUUAAAUUCUUAAAAAUUAUUAUAAAAUAAAAUUAUCACCUGUGCAUUGCAUGGGGAUAAAUCUAGUUUUUGAUAAUAAUAAACAUCAUCUUAACCAAUAAUAAUGAUAAUAAUAAAUAUCAAAGACCCAAGCAAAUAUUAAUCAUUUUGAAUUGAUAGUCCUAAAUAUUUUCAAUUGUGGAUUAAUAAAAUCUAAACAUGAGUAAGGAAUAUAUAUAUUACAUCUUUUUGAUAAUUAAAACAACAAAGCUUGUGACAACAACAAUAUAUCAUAAAAAGAUAUUUAAGAAAUGAUAGAAAGAAUAAAUUGAGAGAAUAGAAUGAUAUUUAGGGUCCGUUCGUUUUGCAGUAAAAUAUUUUCCGGAAAAUAUUUUCAGGACUUAUGCUUGUUUGGUAGAUGGAAAAUUAAUUUCAGAUGUAAAACAUUUUACGAGUUAAUAGGGUUAACCAUGGAAAAUGUCUUAUACGCUUGAAUGGCGUAAGACAUUUUUCAAAGAACAACAAAAACACUUUUAUGCUAAGUUUAUGAUUAUAAGUUUGAUGAAUAUUAAUAUUUAACUUAAAAUAUUAAAAAAAUAAAAAUAUUAAUAUUUAACUUUAAAAUAAUUACUUUAAAAUAUUAAUAUUUAAAUUAUACAAUACUAUUAAAAUUAAAAAAAAUAUUAUUGUAAUGAAACCAUUCAAUACAAUUAAAUUUUUUAUUUAUAAAUGGAAUAAAUCUUAUUAAUAAUUAUAAUAAAAAAUAUUUCAAUGAUCAUUAUUUGAUUAAUACACAUUUAUAAUAGUUUUAAAUCUUACUAAUAAUUAUAAUUAAAAAUAUUUCAAUGAUCGUCAUUUAAUGAAUACACAUUUAUAAGCAUAGAUUUAGGAUAUCUUACACAAUUGAUAAAUAUUUACAUUUUAUAGUUAUGAUAAAAAAGUGAUAAAAUGGAAAUUUUUUUGAAAAUUAGAGUUUAUUUUCAUCACAGAUAUGUGGUUAAAUGNGAAAUUUUUUUUUAAAUUAGAGUUUAUUUUCAUUACAGAUAUGUGGUUAAAUGCUUUGAGAAAUAUCAUUAUUGAUUUUGUCCAUUUUCAUCUUCAUUCUUAAUUUUGAUCCCAAAUUAGUGAAAAUCAAAUAUCAAUAUUGUUUUGUAAUCAACUCCUAUUUAUUAUUUUAACGCCUAAAUAAGUCCACCAUAAUGAAAAAUAUUUUUCAUAAAAUGAUCCAAACAACUGAAAAUGUUUUCGAUAGUUUAUCCAAAUAAUAAAAUAUAUUAAAUUUUCCUAUAAAAUAUUUUACAUAGGAAAAAUUUUCCUUCAGUAAGUCAAUUUACGAUUACCAAACGGACCUUAAAGUACCUGGUUUCCUUUUCAAAUUAUUUGGAAAGACCAAGAAUAGAGGUUAAGUAGAUGAACUGCAAAUUAAUCCCCUUGGCUCCUUGCGUUAAGUAGAAAUUUUUGUGGAAAAUUAAAAAUCUUAUUUUUAACACCAGUAGUGUUAAUUCAAAUUUAUACUUGUACCAAUUCAAAUUUAUAUUUAAGAGGAGAAUCAAUCCAAUCUGAAGAGUGAAAAAGUCUUGAAUUAAUUCCUUGUUGCUGAUGUAGAGAGAUGUAGUUGUAGAAGAAACUAUGCAUAGAAGGAACAAGUUUAGCCCUUGAAAAGAGCCUUGUGGAUGGCUCUUGAUCUUUACACAAAUGCUGCAGAGAACUUGUAAAUGAUGAGCUUGCAUGGAAUUUGUAUAUCUUAAUCAUAUGAAGCUUCAGUUUGGUCCUUCAAUUUCUCUAUCUAUGAAAUAAACACAAGGCAUUGUAUAUGAACUAUUCUAUACAUCUCAACUCUUCUUGGACAUAGAGAAAACCACCUUCAACUUGCUUUGAAAUUUCCUUCCUUGGUACAUGAUGCUGUCAAGUUAAGAACAUUGAAAAAUAGGAUUCAACCUUGCAAUCUAUAUUGACAUGAGGUUAACAUAAUUCUAAUCCAGUAUUGCAACUCCAUUACUGUCGACUCAAUCUGUAAUUAAUUUAAACAUAAGGGAAAGUAAGGUUAGAUUCAUUCGCAUUGGCUUUCUCUGCCCUGCUUUUAGAAAUUUCGUUGGUGAAAUUGGAUAAUGCUUCUUUCAGAUAAAAGACUUGAAGAUACCCCUUAAUAAAAGGAUUUGACAAAUUCUAAAUAUAAUUAGUUGAAUCAUAUGCAGAAACUGAAUUUGAAUCUCAAAAAGAAGAUUUUCUUCUCAUGAAAGCCUCUGUCAAGAACAUAUCCAGAUGACUUACAAUUCAAGUGAAUUUGGAUAGUGCUUCUGAUGAAAGCCUUCGAACAUUAGAACUACAGAAGACAUACAAUUCAAGUGACCAGAUUCCAGAUCAAAUAUGAACAAAUCUUGUAAAUUAGCAUUUUCUCCGCUCCUUGUUAUGCAACGACCAAGAGGCUUUACAGGAUUACGCUGCUGAAGCUUGGCAAUCAAUUUCACAUCAUUUCAUAGCACAUACAAUCCUUGUCAAGAACUCCUUCAAAGCCUAUACACAGCAAUUUGUCAUCCAUCUGAUAAUGUACCUUGAAAGGUUAAAAGUAAAGAUUGCAAAAGGGUUUUCCUUGUACAUACGUCCGAAUCCACCUUAUCCAAGCUUCUUGUAUAUUGGUGACUUUAGCUAUAGAGGAUAGGUCAAACAAGUCGAACCUCUGUGUUUUCCUUAUUGCCUACAACGUUCUGCUCAGCUUCUCCCAUGGUUUCUUUCUCUGAAAUAGAGGGAAAUGUGCCUCCUUAAGUGUACAGUUUUAAUGAUUUUUUUUUUGGAAGAUAUAGUGAUUUUUCAAUGCUGUUUUUUCCUCUGUUUUUUCUCCACUGACAAAUGAUUGAUACGCAAUUUCUAGCAAACUAUACCUUUCGAAAAAUUUCAAGAAACAGAAGAGCUAAAUGUUAUGGUUGACAAGACAAAUGAGCUUUACCUUGUAGGUUUCUCCAGAGUUUGUAAAGGUAACAGUCAAUUAUCACCAUCCCAGCAACAAUGGCAAGGUCAAUUCUGCUUUGAGAUAACAGCCAUCCUCUUCUUAGGCUCAUCUUUAGCCUUUUCAGGUUCAGAUUUGACACAGGAAAGUCAGUUAAACUUAUUUUCAGAAAGUAAGACACAGAGUUAAAAAAUGCUAAUGACACAUGAAAAAGCAAAUGAAUUAAUGAGUUAAAAUUAGGUGCAAAUUUAAUUUUGAAGCAGAAAUUUGAAUAUAAUGUACUCGCCCACCAGAAGGUUUCUGUCUGAUAUCAAAUAAUCAAAUCACAUGACUGAAAAGUUAGUGGUAGGGCCAAGAACUGAAGGUCCAUGUUUUCCUUGAAGCUUUCAGCAUGCCCUGAUCAGUUUCUUCAAUGUUUUUCUCUUAUCUAAUGUUCUGCUCAACAAAAGAAUAAAAAAUAAAAAAAUUUAAGACUAAAUGUAAAUGCAUGGUAAACUUGCUGUCUAGCUGAGAUGGUUUUAGAAAUUACUGAAGGCAUAGUGAAUGCUAAAUUUUUAAUGAAAAUCUGAUAGCCCAAUAACCAUAGGCAAAAAACAACUUGUGAAAGGACCAACCUAUCAUUGCCAUCAUCAGCCUCUUACUCUUCAUCCUCUUCUGAAGAAAAUUCUAAAACAACUUGUGAAAGGACAUCCUUAGCAUCAGGAUCAUCAAAUUCCACUAAUUCCCACCAUUUUCUUGGAUGAACAUAGCCAUGCUCGAGAGGAGGAGGAGUUGGUUGCCCAGUUUCAAGCCGGGGUAUGGAGAAAGGGAUCUUCUUGAGCUUUAGACAAUUUAUUAUUGAAAGAAAUUGGAGAGAGUUUGCAGGAACCAUAACUCCACUAGUACAAAUGCUUUUCAGUUCCGGUAAUUUGAUCAGGUGCAAGGUCUGUAAUUUGGGAAAAACAUAUGUUGUUACUUUAGGACCCCUUUCUUCUUCUUUGUGAUUUUCUUCCUCUGCUUCUGAUGCGAUUAUUUUCUCCAUCUUCUCACAGCGAUUAACUUCAAUGUACUCUAAGUUUUGCAAGCCCCGCGACAGCUGAACUGAAAACAAAUUCUUUAUACUUGAACAACGAAACAAAUGAAAUUUCCUAAGAGAAGAGAAGAUGGCAGGCGGUGCUGGAGUGUGAGAUGUAGAGACAGCUGCUACUCUUCCUUUCACAAGUUCUUGCAAGUUGGACAAACAUCGAAGACGUAGAACCUCAAUGUUCUGCAAUGAAUUGCAAGAUGAUAACGACAAAUCAACCAUGCACUUUAUUCCUUUACACCAACUAAUAGUACAUGUCUUCAACUCAUUUGCUUUACGGCACAAAGAAAUAUUGCUCAAGCUUUUGAGAUCAUGACAUGCCUCAACAGUCAGAGUCCUAACGCAAUUUGGGAGCACCACAAGAUCUUCUUUCCCUAUCUCGCAAUUAAUAAAACAUACCUUUUUGUCAACUUCGACAUCCUCAAGAUGAGAACACCAAGGAUGGCUCCUGAUGUUGCCCAAAGUAGGUGAUCCAACUCCAAGCCAGUAUUUGGAGGGCCCUUGACCCAAUAAAGACUUGGCAUAUCUCUCAAAGUCUUGUAUUUCACAAAAGAAUCCUAGAAGAAUCUCCAGCUUCCUUAGUUUGGCUACUUCCUCUCCUCUUCUAUUCAUCCAAGUUUUCAAGUAUUGGAGAUUAGAAAGCCUUAAUAGAAUUUCCGUUGGUAGUUCCUUUAGAUUCCUUGAAUAUAAAUCAAGAUAUGUGAGGCUUUCUAACAUUUCUAUACCACGAGGGACCUCCUCAAUAAUUGUAUCAAAAAGAUCCAACUUUCUCAAGGCUGUAAGCUUGGCUAAUGAAGGCACGUAUCUUAAACUGCUACACCUUCGAAGGACAAGUGCAGUUAGAUUUUCCAAGUUAGAAAUGGAAUUGGGCAGAUCAUAAAUGCCAGUAUCCGAAAGAUCUAGAACUUUUAGCCCAUGCAUGUGGUCAAAGAAAGAUUCUGGAAUUCUUUUGAGACUAUGAUUUUCUUGCAAUAACAAGGUUGACAAAUUAAGGCAUUUCGGUGAUAUCUGAGGAACUUGUGAUAUGUAAUUGUGAAUCAAGGAAACCUUCUCAAGAUUCUCUUUCCAUUUAUGCUCACUUGGUAACUCCACUAAUUGCAUACCAGCUUGAACCAUAAAGUGAUGACACCCUCUUAUAAUAGACAAUGCCAUGUCUCUUAGAACAUCAUGCACCUUCACUUCUUCCUUAACAUUGUAAGUCAUCACCCUCUCUAACAAGCAAUUAUUUACAAGCUUAUUUAAAAUAGCGCGACCUCUGUCUUGCAUUGCCUGUCUAGUUUCUAAUUCAUCAAUGAGAUCCUCAUCUAUCCAUUUUUCAAUCAACUCUUCUUCCACAAUGUGAUAAUCUUCAGGAUACAAGGAACAAUAUAAGAAACAAUUUUGAAUUUUUGAAUCUUUCAAACGAUCAUAACUGAAUUUCAUACGCUCAAAUAUUUCAAUAUCUAACCCUUUCACACUUUUAACCCUUUCACGUAAUUCAUUUAGUGCAUUCCUCCACUCGCAAGUAUCGUCCACUCCUCUCAUGCUACUAGCUAUAGUCACAAUGGCAAGCGGUAAACCACCACAUUCGUCAACAAUAAGGUUUGCAAUUUCCUUUACAGUUGGAUGUUGUAGAACCCUAUCCCCCACCAGAUUCAAAAAUAAGUUCAAUGACACCUUCUGCGAAAGAGGCUGCACUUUAAACACCUUACAACCCAUAGAAUUACAAACCUCAAUUGAUCUACUAGUGAUUAUCACUUUGCUCCCAUUAUGUAAUGUUGGUUCCGGGAUUCCCACAUCCAAUAGAGAAAACCGUUCCCAAACAUCAUCUAAGAUCAACACAUAUCUCUUUCUUUCCAAGACUUCCAUUAAUACAGUUGCCCAUUGCAACUUAUUUUCUGGAAGACAGCAUUCUAAAGCACAUGCAAUAUCUCCUUGUAAUUUGACAGCAUUGAAUUCUCUAGAUACGGUGACCCAAAUCACUGCAUCAAACUGAUUUUCCUUCAACAAUUGAUUAUUGAUAUGCUUCAUGAUGGUAGUUUUUCCCAUUCCACCCAUACCACAUACUCCAAUCAUGCCAACCUCGUCACCCAUUAAAUUUUCCCAAAUUUGUUCCUUUACAUCGAUUUCACCUUCUAGUUUUGUUGUGAGAAAUGUCACCCCUGUAGCUGGAGGCCCAUCAAUUGUUACACCCUCAGGGAAAUUACCUCGUUGAUAAAUUUCCUUUGCUUCUUCAAUCUUCUGGCAAACAAAUUUCCCUAGGCGUGCACGUGAGAAGUAUGAAACAACACGCAAUUUCUCUUCAAUCAUUUGAAGUUCAAUAUUUAUCCGUUCUAAAUCUUCAAACCAUUUCUCCACUUCUUUCUUCACCACUCUUCUGCAACGAAUAUCUGCUUCCUUUCUGAAUUCAAGGUCUUGCUUUCGAAUAUUUAGAUCAUUCACUUUUCUUUUAAGAUCAUUCACAUUUUCCUUAAGUUUCCGAUGAUGACUAAUGGAUCUAUAGGCUGGACCCCCAAAGCACUUUACCACUUCGAAAAUUGGCCCUAGAAGCUCCAUAUAAGCUACUCCCUGUAGUUUAAAAACCAAUAUGUAUAUUACAUCUCCAUAUAAGAUACUGCUUGUACUACUAUGUUAUUAAAUCUCAAACUUUUAUCAAUUCUUCUAAAGAAAAAAAAAACAAAAGAAAAAAUAUUGCUUUUAAAAAACUUUAUUAAAUACAAGAAUCCAUCAUCUAUGAGAAUAGUGUUUAUAUUUCUAAGACUACUUAUACGUUAAUGGUUUUAUAUAUAGUAUAUGUAGAUGAAUGUAUACAUGUUUGUGUUUAUAUAUUUAUAUAUAGUGUUCAACUUUCUCACUUAAGAACCAUCACAAAUUCUUUAAAUAUGUCUGACCUGUGUUUUCGAGUCUUGAUCAUUAGAACAUUAAUAAAAGGAGGAAUAAAAAAAUGAGAAAACAAUUCUCAAUAAUAUUAAACAUCAAGGACCCAAGCAACUUUCUCACUUAAGUUGUAUCACUCUCUAACAGGUAAUUAUUUUCAAGCUUAUUUAAAAUGCCCUCUGUCAUGCUUUGUUUGUCUGGUUUCUAAGCUGCCAUGGAGCCUCUCAUCUAUCCAAGUUUCAAUUAAUUUCAUUUUCUCAAUUUCAAAUUCUUCAGGACAUAAGGAACAAUAAUAUAAGAAAAAAUUUUAAAUUUUGUAUUUCUCAAGCAAUCAUAACUAAACUUCAAACAACCAAAUAUGUUGACGUUCACACCUUUCACACUUGUCACCCACUCUUCGAAUUCAUUCAGUGCAUACCUGCACUCACAAUAUCAUCUACCCCUUUCAUGCUACUGGCUAUUAAUGUCGCAAAGCGGUAAAUCGCACAUUGCUCAACAAUUUUGUUGACAAUGUCUUUUAAAUUUCAAUCUCAUACAACACCACAUGAUCUAAGAAUAAGUUCAUGGACCACGUUUUUUAAAGUGAUUUCACUUUGACAACCACACUAUCCAUAAAUUUACAGACCUCAAUUGAUUUACUAGUGAGUACAACUUUCCUCCCCAUACCUAAUGUUGGUUUUGUGAUUCCUACAUCCAAUAGAGAAAAAAUUGUUUCUAAACAUCAUCUAAAAUCAACGCACAUCUCUUUUCCUCCAAAAUAUUAUUUAAUGUUGCUGCUUAUUGCAAUAUAUCUUUUGGAAGAGAUUGGUACGAAGAAUCUGCAAUAUCUUCUUGCAAUUUGAAAAUAUUCAAUUCUUUUAAUAGGUGAGCCAUUCCACUUUAUCAAGCCAGUUAUCCUUCAACACUUGAUUAUUUAUAUGCUUCAUGAUGGUGGUUUUCCCUAUGCCACUCAUUCCAUAUACUCCAAUCAUUCCAAUCUCAUCACUCAUCAAAUACUUCAUUUUUUAAUUUUUCUUCAAUUUCACCUUCUAGAUUUGGUGUUGGUAAUGUCACCCUGGUGGCUAAAGGCCCAUCAAUUGCCACACCAUCAAGGAAACCACCUUGUUGGUAAAUUUCCUCUAAUUCAUCAAUCAUUCAACAAAAUGAUUUUCCUGGACGACCGCAUAAGAAGUAUGAACCAACACAGAACUUCUUUUCAAUAUUUUCCAUUUCAGUCACCCUUUGUACGUCUUCAAAGGUUAAAUGGAGCACAGUAUGCAAGCCCAAAAGAUUUGGAGGACUGGGGAUCUCAAACCUUAAGCAUAAAAACUUAGCUCUCCUUGCAAAAUAUUGGUGGUGGCAGUAUGGCAACGAGGAAAACGCAUUAUGGAGGUGGCUGAUUGUAGAAAAAUAUGAAAGGGGGCAAAAUCAUUGGAUCCCCUCAUCAUCAAACAUGGGAAGAAUGUCACUGAUAUGGAGAUCCAUUGUAAAUUUACCUUCCAACAAGGGUGUUCAAGAACUUGUGUGAGACCAAGCAUGUCGCUGGAUUACUAUUUUCUUUUGGCUUUACAAAUUGAUUAAUGAUGUUCCUCUUUUCUCCAAAUUUUCUCCUCUUUUCUCUUUGAUUGUUUCAAAGGAAAUGAAAGUUGUUGACGUGCAGAACAAUCGCACUUGGUCCAUAACCUUUAAACACAAUCUACAUUUAUGGGAGAAAGAAUCCUAGGAUGAGAUCCUCCACAAGUUCUCCUCGAUUCCUUACUCCAAGGAAAAGGUGAUAAGCUCAUUUGGCGGCAUGACCCUAAGGGUGCUUACUCUAUUAAAACUUUCUACUUACUCCUUGAUGCUAAUCCUAGUGCUUGAAAGUUUGGUUCAACACUAUUUGGCACUUCUCCAUUCCACCGAAGGUGCAAUGUUUCCUAGGGCUCUCGCUCAUAUAUAGAUUCUUUACCUACCAAAGGCUUCCUUUCGUCCGAGGUGUUUAAUUCAAUGUUGAGCAACUUAGAUGCCCUUGGUGCAGCCUUGUAGUGGAGACAUUUGUUCUUUGUAUUAUCUUUCAGUAUGUUGCUAGUAGUUGAUGUAUAAUUCUCUUAGGCCAUGUUUCGGAUUGUUCUGCAUUUUGUAAGCCAGGCUGGUUAGGUUCUGUUAUGCACUCUUUGUGCACUCCCCUGUUUUUUUCAUUUUCUGUUCUGCAUCAACAGUUCAUUCCCAGCCUUGUACUUUAAAAAACCAACUUAUAUUACAUCUCCAUAAGAUAUAAGCUAUACCUUGUACUAAAAAGCAAAAGAAAAAUAAGUUUUGAAAACAUUAUUAGAAACAAGAAGUUUUUGUUUCGAUCAUCUAGGUGAAUAAUGUUUACAUUUCUAACACUAUAUUUAUCAAGCCGAAUGUAUAUACUAUUUAUAUAUAGCAUAUACUUCCCCCCCUAGAGAGCCAACACAAAUUCUUAAAUAUGUCUUGCCUACAUAUCUCAAAAAGAUAUUUAAGAAAUAAUUGCAUGAAUAAAUUGAGAGGGUAAAAUGACAUUAAAAAUACCAGGUUUCUUCUUCAGGAAAGAUGAAGAACAGGGCUCAAGUAGUACAAAUUAAUCCCCUUGGUUCCUUGCUAAGCACAAAUUUGUUGUGGAAAAUAGCUGACAUAAAAGAGGAACAAUCACUAGUGUUGUAAAGGUGAAAAGCUUAUUUGCUAAAGUUUUUGGAAUUAUUCUUAUUCUUGCUCACUAUAAUUAAUUUCAGCCUAAUUAAUAGAAUAGAAGCAUGACAAAGAAAGAACCAAAAUAAUUUUGUGCAACUUGACUAAAGAUGAUGAAAUUAUGUUACAAGAUUAUAAGAUUCUAAAGAACAUGAACCCAAAAGAUUAAAAAUCAUAAUAUAAAGGAAUAGGCAGUUCAAUUACCUGGUUAAAUGAGACAAUGAAUGGGUACGUCUCCUCUCCUUAGAGGGUCUUGGUUAUAUUGGUGGAAUGGAAGAUUAAUAUCUCCUUCUAGAAUUUGUCAAGAACAGAGCAAAAUCAGAUCUCUCUGCUGGCAAAAUAAUACUAAUUGACGAUGUGGAGCAACAAAACUUGUCACACGCCCUAUAUCUACUUUCUUAUAUUUAUAUUUCAAAGGAGAAUUAAUCCAAUUUAGAAAAGUCAUGAAUCAUAAUUUCUUGUUGCCGAAAUAGGAAGAUUUGGUUAUAGAAGAAACUACGCACAACAAGUUCAGCACUUUUGUUCUUUUUUAUAAUUAAGAAACAAACAUAACCCAAAAAGACAUAUGUUUAAGCAAUCAAUAUUGCAAGAAUAAAGGAGACGGUAGAAUGAUUGCAAGGGCUAAAGCCAUAUAUAGUAGGGGAAAGGAUAUGAAACCUGUUUCCUUCUUCAAAUUAUUUGGAAAGAUGGAGCUGAACAGGUUCUGAGCCACAAACCUCUUGGAAUUUUAUGUGGAAAAGUAACUGACAUGAAAGAAGGAGAAUCAAUAGUGUUAUGAUAAAGCUGAAACUCUUCACUUGUAGCCUAUGGGUCUAGUUUCUACUCAUUAAUGGAGAGAAUUAUUGAAUUAGGAAGCAAAAAAGAAUAUAAAGUCGGCAACUCAAUGCAAAGUCAUGAUAGGAGUUGCGAAGUCACUUUCCUUGAAUUCAAUAAAAAAACUGGCCACUUGUCCUCUCUAUAAUUCCAAUAUUGUCCUCACAAAUUUCUUUAUGUGUUAAGGAAAAGACCAUAAAUACGUAGAGAUGUUAAAACAGUGUAUCGGCUGAAUAACCAAGCUACUGUUUACUGCAAUAGAACCUUGACAUGACAUAAUUACACGUAUAAAAUUAUUCUUACUAAUAAUAAAGGUUUAAAUAUUGGUCAAGUAAUUUUGGUUGGACCACACUUGACUUUUUACUUAUAAAAAAUUUAGAAUUAUUUGUAAAAAUUAUUUUAUUCAUAACUUUUAAUAUUCAAAAAGCUUGUAAAAUAGUAAAAGAUAAAAUCAGAAAAGCAAAGCAGAGAAGAAACAAUACCAAGAAGAUAGCAACUAGCAAAAUCUUCUAUCCAAAGAGAAUGAAUUUUUGGAGCAAAAACAAAAUUAAAAAAUGGCCAAGUCAAUGCCACAAGUCGUUGCUGAGGUUUCCAAGUAACUUCCCUCGAAACAUGAUAUAUAUAAAUGCAUAUUUCCUAUUUUUUGUCGUUCGGAACAUAGAAUUUUCCUUUAUUUUUAAUCUAUUCUCACUUUGUAAAUUUUGUUUGACCAUUGGCUUUCUGAAUCUAAUCUAACCUCGUAUAAUUUCAUCAUGAGGUUUGUAUAUUAAUAAUGAUCAUUGAAGAAUCUAAAAUUAACAAUUAUCAAGUGGCCACUAAAGAAAAACUAAAAUGAAGUAUACUUUGUGUGAAAAUUUUUACUUUAUUGUUCAGAGUCUAGUCUUCUAGAGAUCAUAUUCUAUCUUGUGUGUGACAGACACCAAUUCUUAAUGCUCUGCACUGAAAACGCAAUAUACAUUUGCUGAAUCGAAAUUUAUAUUCAAAAGGAGAAAUAAUCCAAUUUAAUAAAUUACUAAAAAUGUCAUGAAUUAUAAUUCCUUGUUGCUGAUAUAGAAAGAUUUGUUUAUAGAACAAACUAUGCCCAACAAGUUUAUCCCUUGAUAUAAGUAAUGAGAAAGGAAAGAGGCUUGUGCAUGAUGGGGAUUCAGCUUCUUGCUUAUCAGCCAUUUCAGAUUACUUCAAAAAAUGAAGGGGAACAGAUCAAUUCAUUCUCUUCCAGAAUAUCCUGUUUAUUAUUUCCAUGGUUAUCGGUAUCAUAUCUGUUUAUCAAACCGAUAUAUUAUCCUUCAACAAUUGAUUAUUUAUGUCCUUCAUGAUGGCAGUUUUCCUAUGCCACCUAUUCUGCGUACUGUAAUCAUUCAAACCUCAUCACUCAUCAAAUACUCCCAAAUUCGUUCUUUAAUUUUACAUCGAUUUUAACUUUUAGAUUUGGUGUUGGUAAUGUCACCCAGGUAGCUAGAGGCCGCAUACUGUCAAGGAAACUACCUUGUUACAUUUCCUUCUUCAAUCCUUCAGCAAACAAAUAAAUUUGCUAGCAUAAAUCAAACAAAAAUCAAACUUUAUUAGAUUUAGCAAUACAUCCAAUUUCCAAAUAAAAUAAAACGGAUACAAGAUACCAUCCACUAACAGUGACACAACUCCUGCAAACAAUUCAAAAUAUAUUACAGCAUAACAAUAUUCCUCCCCUUCCCACCCCAUUUAUUUACAAUGUAUCCCAACCGGCCAAUCGGCAGGCAAAGUUGGGUAAGGGGAGUGUUGCUUCCUCGAUUACUUGCAAGUGACGUAUACUUCCACUACACCACAAUCACCAUCUAUUCUCUUGGAUUGGGUUCCGACCAGUGCAUCAAAGUGUAAACUGACAAUGUUGUGAGGCGGAAGCGUAUCUUUUUCUGCCAUCGAAUAAACUUUCCUCCUUUAAAGUGAUCUAACUUGAUAAUGUUGGUAGCUAUCUCUUUAAGUGAAGCCAUUUUGAAUGCUAAGAAAAUAAGUCUUAAAAUUGUUGGUACAAAUGGGGUUUAAAUGGAAUUCAAAAACUAGCAUAAUUGACUUCAAGACAAGCCUUUCAAUAGAAGUUAUAUUUAAAUUUAUUUUGCCCCCACCACUCAGUAUGCAAAAGAGGAAUAAUGCGAAUAGCCUUAGGGAUACAAUGAAAUCAACAUCUAACUUCAUCUUACACUUUAUGAGAGUAGACCGCUAGAUACACCUGAGGAUUUACAAAAUUAUUUGGCUUUAGAGCUUACUUUUUGCAACAAGUAGAUUAUAAGGAAUUUGGACGCUUUUGUAGUUGAUGGGAACUUAAGUGUUUACGUUAAUAGAACAAAAUAUUUUUCUUACUCUUUGAUAUUUCUGCUCUUGUUUUGUUUUUGAUUUGAUGUCUCAAAAUGGUUGGCAACAAGCCCUUCCUAUAGGCUUCCUAUAGGCUUGCAAGUGUCUCUUCUUCAAUGACCCAACCCUUUCAUUAAGGCACCAUUUUGUCUAAAAGACAUCUUUACAUUUUGUUAGACAUAACUUUUGGAUAAAUGUAUUAUUUCAAUAGUCAUCUUAUGAAAAGAUAACUAUUCAUUCUAUAAAAUAUAAUCUUUGAGUUAUAAUUUGUAAUAAUAACAUUCCGUAUUUAACUUUUGAGCUAUGGUGUCUUUUUAAUUUAUCUCAUAACUUUUGAAUGUCAUUUUACUAAGAGACAUAACCAUUCAUAUGAAAACUUGCCUACAAUCCAAUAGACACACUAUGUCACUUUAUGUGACAUAACCUUUGAGCUAAGAUAGCUUUUCAUUAUAUGAUACAAUCUUUGAUUUUGAAAAUGCACCAACAACUUUGACCUUAUAAACAACUCUAAAACCACCUUCCCCUAGCUUGAUGUCCAUAGAAAAGCUAUCAGUAGCACGAGCUACGGUAGCAAGCUCCAAUAUUGGAAGCUCCAUGUCUUCAUCCUGGCCUUGAUUUUCUUGAUCAUUUUCCUUAUUGUCUUUAGUUUCUUUAAAACAGUAGCCAAAAUAGGCUUGGCAUUCACCAUAAAAUAUGAUAGAUUCUUAUGCAUUUUGAUUGAGCUAGAUAAUUGGACAAAAAGCUGAUGUGGUUUUUGAGAUCACACAAAACCAUGUAUCUCCAGUUAUUUGCUUCAUUAACAACUCUAUUUUGACACCGAUAAGCAUUGAAGAAACUGCGUGUUGAUUUGCUAGCAUCAUUACUAACAAAGGAACAAAAUGAGCAUUAUUUGUGAAGGAUAUUUCAAAGUUACGUCUGAACUUUCUGGGGCUUCUAUAAAUGUAAUAACUGACAAUAAACAGCCCCAAAACCACAGCACAGUAGUGUUCCAAUCACUGCAGCAAGCUCCAUCCUGAGCUUAUCUUUCAAUUCUGUAUGACAGAAUUUGAUAAAGAAAAGCAUAUAUGAACAAAAAAAAGUAGUGAAAACAAGAGAAAAUGUAAACUCAUACCUGAUUUUGGAGCAGACACUCUAACAUAUAGGUCCUGCCCUACUGAUUGAAAUUUUCUGUAAUCAAUCAAAUUACCAAACCAAAAGGCGCAUCCCCAAACUCUUCCUCCAUUAUCUGAACUAGUGUAUGCUUGGCUUUCUACAUUCCAUGUGAAGUCCUGUAUCAUCAGUUUGGUUCAGAACAAGUCCUGUGAUCAAUGAUUUCUAUUUGAGACAUUUUGUAUGGUUGAAAUAUAAAAUAGAAAUACCCGGACAUUGAAGAGAUAUUGAAGAGAAUUUGCAGGAAUCAUAACUCCAAAACCACAAAUGCUUUUCAGCUCUGGUAAUUUCAAUAAGGAAAGUUUCCUUAAUUUGGGAAGAAUGAAUGUUAUGCUAACAGCCCUUCCUUCUCCUCUGUUAUUUUCUCCCUCCUCUUCUGAUUCUAUUAUUUGCUCCAUUUUUUCACAAAGCCUGACAUCAAUUUCCUCCAAAUUUUGAAAACACUGCAACAGCUUAAUUGAACACAACUUCUUCAUCCUCGAACAGUUUCUCAAGUAAAAACUUUUGAGAGAAGAGAAAAUGGCAGGUGGUGUUGGGAUCUGAGAUGGAGAUACACAUAGAUUCAUGGUUUUCAUGAAUAAGAUAAAAAUGUUAUGAUCACCAUUUAAACAUAAUAUAUAUAUAUAUUUAGAGUAAUCACACUAAUCAUAUCAAAUUAAACUCAUACUCAUAAUUUGCACGCAACAUCAAAUCACCAAAUCUUAUAUAGAUAAUUUAAACUAUUAAUCUUGUUUAAUUAUAUUUGUAUUCAUCAUUUGAAGGGCUUUGUAAAUUUGUAAAGUAAACAACAAUAAGCAAUAAUUAUGUUUAUUUUCAAUAUCUUGGUACUGAUACAUCACUUCCCAAAUAUGCUUUCCUUUUCUUUUUCAUAUAUAGACAUUGUUUUAUUUGGAGAUUGUAGCUAGCUAGACACCAUUAUUGCCAGUCCAAGAGGUGACACUUUGGAGAUUGAAUAGCAUUUAAUUUUCAGGUGUUUUGGUCUUGAGAUGAGUGGCAACAUUAAUUCUUUUGGAUCUGUUGAAUUAGCUUUUGUAUAUAAAAGAAGGUAUACCUCCUCAAACAUGGAAAAUCCCCUUUCAAACCCAUAAUUUUAAAGAAAGAAAAUCCUAAUUUAAUAGAUUAGUUGCCAACUAAGGACAAGCAUUGUUGAUGUGACAUUUAUUUUGGUAUAUUCUAACACUCGUUGACUAGAUUCAAUUGGAUAGGAUUCUUAAUUUUGAUGAGAUUUAUGGGUAGUGAUUAAACAAUGGAAGUGUUGACAAUGGAGGUUCUAAGUCCCUUGCAUCUAAGAAAGAAAUGAAUUUGUUCAAUUGACACUGCUUUGGUACAUAUAGAAAGUAAGCUAAUACCAUAGCCAUAUUUCUUACGUGACUUCCAACAAAUUUGAGACUUCAGUAUGGCAAAAUAUUGGGUAUUUGAAUAAAUUACAAUACAAAUAGAGAAAGAAAAAAGAAAGAGACUAAAUAGAAAGGGGAAGUGGAAAGAUCCCCAAAAUCAAUUAAUUGUAAGUGGAAGGAGCAAAGCCCAACUUUGUUGGCAACAAAGUCAUGUUCCCACAGAUGAUUUUGUUCUUGUUGCAGAGCGUUGUCAAUAAUAUUUACUUCCAGGCUGUCUUUUGGUAAAUAGAAGCCGAUAAUGGUUCUCUGGAUCAAGCUCAAAUAUAGCUCCAUCUUCAAAAAUGAAUUGCAAAUCCUGACACUGAAGACAAAAUCAAGCCUUGUUAUUGCUUUUAAUAAAAGCAAAUAAAAUUUGAAGGGUGUUCAGCUGGGCAAUUACUAGUUCCCAAGUAACAGUUUUAACUGCUACUUUCCUGUACCAAAUUCCCAAGCAACGAUUCUUAGAGCUUCCAGGACUAAAGAAACCAAGCUCAAGGAUUCCGUCCAUCACUAACAGACUGGGAGGAGGCGGAGAUAUCGAUUCCAUCAGCAAUACUUGAAAACAAUAUUAGUAAAACAGUGUUGGUGAACAUGGAAGACAGAAUGUCCUUUUAAACUUUCAGAGCUUGUAAAACUCAUAGAAAAACUUUUCAGUUUGGCAGAUUUUAGAGAGCAAACAUAUUUAAACUGAUGAUCGUUGACUAGUAUGCAAAUCUUCCUUGAAAAGACCAAACUUUUCAGGUUGCAUAGAAUUCUUAUUUCUAAUUUUUAUGAAGCUUCAGUGCAGUCAUCUUGUAUUGUCUCUGUGAAUCAAAUAUAUAAAUAAAUAUAUAUAUAUAUAUAUAUAUAUAUUACCCACAAAUAGACACUUGCAGGGCGCUAAGCUCAAACUGGGACUAAACCACUGGUAUCAAAGCAUAAGGUACAUGACAUACUGACUGAUAGCCUAUAAUAAUGGCUUGGAGAUAAAAGAGCUAAGUAUACAGUUUAUCAAUUAUCAAGCAUCUAGUACUGACAGAGUUAUUUCAUUUGUGGGAGACGAUACAUUCUUGUCUGAUGAAGAAUCUUAUUCAAGUGGACUUUUCUUAAACAAAACACCAGGUUGUUUGGGGUGUGGCAAUUCAUUUUCGCUUCCCAAUGUCAGAAUCACAAAUGACAUACUUGGCCUAUCCUCUGGAUAUGCUGUUGUAAACUUAAACGACUGAUAAUGGAUGAAUUGUAUCACUUCUGAUAGAUUGCAAAGACUCUCCUAAGCAUUCGUCAACAAGUUUUAAAGGACUGCCUUAUUUACAUAAUCUUCAUGCCUGCAGCAAAUUGAAACCCUUUUAGGUUUUAUCAAUCCAAGAUAGGCAACAAAAAAUUGAUUAUAAAAAUAUCUGCUGAAACUGACAUGUUCAACAAGGUUGCCGCUUUGUGUUGGAUGGUAAAGCCCUCUAUUUUUUCUUCCCACUUAUUAUCUCCAUCAAUAAUAUACCAAAGCUAAAGAGAUCUGAUUUUACUGGAAGCAGUCCAUCAAUAGCAUAUUCCGUGCCAUAUAACCACUGCAGAACAUUAUCAAAAGCAAUAAAUAUAUGAGGGUAUGUAGACAUUAUGAAAAUAAAGUGAAAGUUAGUAAGUUCCAACCACUCUUUUAGCGUUCCCUUCAGUUUGGUCUCCUCCAAAAGUUCUAGCCAGUCCAAAAUCUGAAACUUUUGGAUUCAUCUCACUAUCAAGCAGAACGUUAUUAGUUUUGAGAUCUCUGUGAAUAAAAAAAAAUUAUUCAAAUGAAAUGGCAAAGAAUCUAAUUAACUCGUUUGAAGAAACUUUGGAUUUGCUAGCAUCACCAUUAACAAAGUGUUUUUUUUUUUUUUGUUUAUUUUGCAAAGGACAACUUGGCACGAUCUCUGUAAAGGAAAUGACUGACAGUGAACAACCCCAAAAGCACAACACAGUGUUAAUGCAGGAAGUUUUAUCCUAAGCUUAUCUUUCAAUUCUGUAUGAUGAAAUUUGAUAAAGAAAAGCAUACAUGAACAAAAACAAAAAAAGCAUUGAAAACAAGAGAAAAUGUAGACUCCUACCUGAUUCUGAAGCAGACAUUUUAACAUAUAGAUCCUGCCCUUUUGAUUGAAAUUGUCUGUAAUCAAUCAGAUGAUGAAACCGAAGGGCUCAACCACUACCUAUUCCUCUGUUAUCUGAACUAGUGUAUGCCAUAUAGGAAUAGUUCUACAGAUACUUAGCCCUGCGUCCCUUAAAAUUCAUACUUUUAGUUACCCAAGAAUGUGUAGCAUCUUGCAUUUUCAAAUCUUUUAAAUCUGACAAAUCCAUCUCUACUUUGGCAGUUGAAUGGCUUAUUGUGCUUACACCUUUGGGACCAGUCUGAUGAGUUCUAUCUUUCGGGAAAUUCAGGCUUAAACAUCAGCUUUCAGGGAAUUAAGGCUUGAAUCCUUUAAAAAGUGCAAGCUGAGCACCAUCACGAUUCCUUUUUGAACCACAAAGUCCAUAUCUGUCACAGUAGUCUCUUGGAGCAAAUGAGAAAAGCAUCCAAGCUUGCUUUCUGCAUUUCAUGUGUAGUCCUGUGAUCAAUGAUUUCUAUUUGAGACGCUUUGGAUGGUUGACAUAUAUAAUAGAAAUACCAGGUGGGUAGAUCAUGCAUUGUUUUCAUAAGAUGAUGUGAUUGAGUGACUUUUGAUGAAUGCAGAAUACACAAAGUGCAGCAGAAAACAAAUUAUAAACAUUGAGGUCCCAGAUAAUUUGUAUUUUUCAAUAAUAUGCAGCUUGUUCCUCUAAUCAUUCUCUUGAGUGGACAAACAUAACUUCAAUGACUUACUUGUAUUAAAUGAUUUCCAAUUCAUGAACCAGUUGAGACCAGUGUGGAUGCGUUUUCUCACAUCUGAUAGGUUGCAGGACAGUCCUAAGAAUUCACCACCGAGUUCAACAGGGGUGCCUUCCUCUCAUAAUCUCCAUGCCUGCAGCAAAUUGAAAACCUUUUAGUCAUUUUAUUAAAGUAUUUUAAUUCAUAAUAAUUAAAGUAUUUUAUUUAAGUGUUAAAGUUCUAUUUAUAGUAGUAGUAAUUAUUAUUAUUAUUAUUAUUAUUAUUAUGAGUGUGUGUGUGUGUCUUUUUUUGUUUUAAAAUUUGAAAAAAAAAAUUAAAACCAAAUUUGAAAAAUGUGAGUGAAAAUGAAAAUAAAGGAAAGGGGUAGGACGUGUCAGAUAGCAAUUGGCUGAGAUAUGCAGAUUGAAGGGUGUUUAGUUGGAGAUUUUUCUAUCAUUCAUAAAAUUAAAGACUUGGUUUUAUGUUUAUAUUAAAAAAGAGAAAUUAUUUAGCAAAUGAGAAAUUAAGAGAUAAAAAUAUUUAGCAAAUGAGAAAGAGAUGAAAAUAAACUCACAAUUAAUGUUUGCUGUUUUUAAUAAGAAGCAAGAGCCUUGCACCCUCAUUUAAUCAAACACCUCUUCUCCAUCUCAUUCUACCAAUACUGAACAAAGGGAGAAAGGACAUCCUUAGCAUCAGGCUGAUCCCAUUCCACUGAUUCCCACCAUUCUCUCGGGCUUACUAUGAUUCGUUUUAGAAAAGGAGGAGGCAAUGGUUUCCCAUUUUCAACAAGGGGAAGAGACAAUGGGAUCCUCUUUACUUCUGGACAAUCGAAUAAUGUGACAUGUUGGAGAGAAUCUACAGGAAUCACAAGUCCACCACGGCAUAUGCUUUUCAAUUUUGGUAAUUCUUCCAAGACUAAUGAUUUUAAUUUGGGAAGAAUAAAUGUUGUUCCUUCUCGUUCCUGAUUUUCUUCUGAUGCUAUUAUUUCCUCCAUUUCAUAACAAUUUCCAACUAUAAUUUCCUCUAAGUUUUGGAGGCUUUGCAACAGCUCAACUGGAUACAACUUCUUAAUCUCGUAACAAGAAUACAGUUUCAGUGUUUUAAGAGAAGAGAAGAAGGCAGGUGGUGUUGGAGCAUGAGAGGUAGAUUCAAUUUCUGCUGCUACUCCUACUCUCACAACUUCACGCAAGUUCCACAAUGACUCAAGCCAUAGCUCCUCAACGUUGUGAAGUGCGUUGCAAGACCAUGAUGACAAGUCAACCACACACUCUAUCCCUUCACACCUCCGAAUUCUACAUUUCUUCAAGUCAGUUGCCUUACGAAACAAAGGAAUAUGGCUUAAACAUUUGAAAUCAUUACACCCCUCAAUACGUAAAGUAUGAAGGUCAUUUGGGAGCACUACAUCGUCACACCUUUCUAUCUCCAAAUUUGUGAAUUCAACAUUUUUCUCAAUUUCGUUGAAAUCUGGGGAAUACCCAAUAUAAAUAUUCACAUCUGGUCCCACUUGAAAAUCGAAAGAUGUAGGCCAUUUACCUUGUGUAGACUCUGCAUAUUUCUUAAACUCUUGCAUGUCGCAAAAUGAACAUGAAACACACUCAAGCUUCCUCAAUUUGCCUACUUCUUCCCCCCUUAAAUGUAACUCCACCAGUAAGCAUUGCAGAUGAGAAAUCUUCACUAAUAUUCCCAUUGGUAGCUCCUUUAGAUGCGUUGACCCUAGACGAAAAUAUCUAAGGUUUUGUAACAUUUCUAUACCAUGAGGAAACUCCUCAAUGCUUGUACUAAAAAGGUCCAACUUUCUCAGUGCUCUGAGCUCUGCUAAUGAAGGCACAUAUUUUAACAUGUGACAAUUAGCAAGUAUCAAUGCAUUGAGAUUUUUCAACUUAGAGAUGGAAUUGGGUAGAUUCUCAAUCUCAUAAUUACCAGAAAGAUUUAGAACUUUUAGCCCAAGCAUGUGCUCAAAGAAAGAUUCUGAAAUCCUUUUUAAGUCACAAUAUUGCAAUAUCAAAGUUGACAAAUGAGGACAUUCAGGUGAUAUGUGAGCAGGGAUUUCUAUUAAUUUUGAAUUUCGCAUCAAAGAAACCUUCUCAACACUCGUUGUCCAUUCUUGCUCACUUGGUAGUUCCUCCAACUGCACAUUGGCUUUUACCAUGAACUGAUGACCUUUAAUAUACAAUGCCAGGUCUCUCAAAACAUCAUGCAUCUUAACUCCUCUUUCAUCCAAAUAAGUUUCAUCCCUCUCUAACAAGCAAUUAUUUUCAAGCUUAUUUAAAAUGCUAUGGCCUCUGUCAUGCAUUUCUUUUCUAGUCCUCAAGCCAUCAAGGAGUCCUUCAUCUAUCCAGUUUUCAAUUAAUUCAACUUUUUCAAUCACAAAAUCUUCAGGAUACAAGGAGCAAUAUAAGAAACAAUUUUGAAUUUUUGGAUCUUUCAAAUGGUCAUAACUGAACCUCAAACGCUCAAAUAUUUCAACAUCUGAUCCUUUCACACUUUUCACAUGCUCUUCUAAUUCAGUUAAUGCAUUUCUCCACUCACAAAUAUCAUUUACCCCCUUCAUGCUUUCAGCUAUUGUGACAAUGCUAAGUGGUAAACCGCCACAGUGCUCAACAAUUUUGUUGACAAUGUCUUUUAAAUUUUGAUCUUGUACAACACUAUGCCCCACAUGAUCUAAGAAUAAGUUCAUGGACUCUGUCUUUGAAAGUGGUUGCACUUUGACCACCUUACAAUCCAUAGAUUGACAAACCUCAAUCGAUCUACUAGUGAGUACAACUUUCCUCUCCAUGCCUAGUAUUGGUUCAGGGAUUCCCACAUCCAAUAAAGAAAAUCGUUUCCAAACAUCAUCUAAAAUUAACACAUAUCUUUUUCUCUCCAAAACAUCCUUUAUUGUUGUUGCUUGUUGCAAUUUAUUUUUAGGAAGAGAUUGUUUAAGAGAAUCUGCGAUAUCUUCUUGCAAUUUGAAAAUAUUCAAAUUUUUUGAUACAGUGACCCAUAUCACUUUAUCAAACUUCUCACUUUCCUUUAACAAUUGAUUAUUGAUAUGCUUCAUGAUGGUAGUUUUCCCUAUACCACCCAUUCCACAUAUUCCAAUCAUUCCAACCUUAUCACCCAUCAAAUACUUCCAAAUUUGCUCUAUUACAUCAAUUUCACCUUUUAUAUUUGGUGUUGGUAAUGUCACCCCAGCGGUUGGAGGCCCAUCAACUGCCACACCGUUAGGGAAACUACCUUGUUGGUGAAUUUCCUUUACCUCUUCAAUCUUUCGACAAACAAAUUUUCCAAAAUGACCACGUAAGAAGUAUGAAACAACACGGAACUUGGUUUCAAUCUUUUCCAUUUCAGUGUUUACCUUUUCUACAUCUUUAAACCAAUUCUCCACUUCUUUCUUCACCACUUUUCCAUGACGAAGCUCCGCUUCCUUUUUUAAUACGAGGUCUUCCUUUUGAUCAUUUAGAUCAUUCACUUUUCUUCGAAGAUCAUUCAUAUGUUCUUCAAGUUUCGGGUGAUGAUCUAUGUAUGUACAGAUUGGACCACCAAAGCACUUUAUUGCUUCAAAAAUUGGCCCUAUAAGCUCCAUAUAAGCUAUUCCCUGUAGUUUAAUAAACCAAGAUAUAUUAUAUCUCCAUAUGACAUAAGCUACUCCCUCUUUAUACUAAAAUUCUAUAUUUUCCAUAUAAUAUAGAAUAUGUUAGAAAAAAAUGUUACUAAAUAAAAGAUUUUUACCAAUUCUUCUUAAGAAAAAACAUAAUAUUUUUGAAAACAAUAUAAGAAAAAAGAUGUUUUUGUUUCCAUCAUGUUUGAGUAUAAUAUUUACAUUUCCAACACUGUUUAUAUCUAAAUGAAUGUAUUCAUUUUGCCCCUUAAAGAACCAUCGCAAAUUCUUGAAUAUAUCAUAUCUAUAUGGUUCCUAGUUUUGAUCAUUACAACAAUAAUAAAAGGAUGGUGAGAAUGGAGAAGUCAAUCUACUAUAAAUAUAUAAAUAACAAAAUUUUGAUAAAAGAAGGAAACGAUUUAAAAUUGAUAACUUCCUCUUCUAACACAUACACAUAUUAAAUAAAUGUUAUAUAUUUAUUAAUCAAUGCAAAAUUUUAAUUUUCAUAUUGAAAGACUAAAUUUACUAAAUUUGAUUAUCCAUUUUACACAUUUAAUAAAAAUUUAAGUUAGAAUAUGUAAGAAUAUCUAAUUGUUAGCGUUAAUAACUGUAGAAAUUACCAUUUAAUGUUGAAAAUGGAUAUUUUGACAAAAAAAAAUACAGGUAUAAUGCUAAAAAAACCCUUGAAUUAUUUACGAAAAUUUAAAAAAAAUUAUUCUUUUAUUAUGUUCAACCAUGCCCUUAUGCUUUUAUUUAAUUUAUAUUAAAUAAGCCUUUAUAACUAAUAGUUGAUUAAUUGUUAUUAAUCAAAAUAUCUCUCGUCAUUUUAUACUCACGUGGUGUUGAUGUGGCGUUGAUGUGUGGAGUAAAGAAUGAGAUAUGAUUAUGUCAUCAUACCACAUCAACAAGCUUUAAAAUAUCUUAAACAAUAAUUACAAGAAUAAACUGAGAAUGCAGAAUGACAUUAAAAAUACAUAAUUUCUUCUACAAAUUAUUUGGAAAGACGAAGAGCAGAGGUUAAGUUGACCAGUCAAUAAUUAAUUCCUUGGCUCCUUGUUAGGUACUACUCCUAUCUUGAGAGGACGUUGGUUAAAUAUGGGGAGAAAGGGACUGUCAAAAAAAAAUUAUCGGGAGAAAGGGAAGAUUAAUAUAUAAUUAUUCAUAAACAGUUGUUUUUAUACUAGAGCUAGAAUAUUUCCUUAUAUUGGAGGUUUAUUAUAAAAUAAAUCAGGGCUAGUACAACUAAUCUAUUUAAACUUAACGGCCAUUUUUUCUUUUGAUGGGAAAAAUAAAAACAAAGAGAAUUUCACAAACAUCUCAUAUAAGAUUAAUAAAUGUCAUAUAUUUGUAUUAAAUAAAUGUCAGGUAUCAAUGUAAAGUUUUAAUUUUGAUAUUCAAAGACUAAAUUUAGUACAUUUGAUUAUUUUCAUAUAUUCAGUUUACACAUUUAAUACAAAUUUAAAUUAGAUAAUUAGGUAAGAAUUUCUAAUUGUUAGCCUAAAUGAAUAUUGAAAUGACCACUUAAUGUUAAAAAUGGAUAUUUUCAUGCAAAAGCAUAUAUUUGAUAGCAUAACUCAAACAAAAGAAAAACUUUAUACUAUUAAAAUUUGCACUGAUUCCAUUUCGUUCUUUUCUAAUUGUUUCAUAAUGCUUGUAUUGUCUAUUAUUUCUAUUAAUUUUUUUUAACAAUUACUCCUAAUUUGAAUUUUCAGUACUUAUUACUAAUAUAAUAGUUAGUCAACAAUUUACAGUCAAAAUUUACCUUAUAUAAUUACUUAUUGCUUUACCUUACAAAUAUGAGAUGUUGGUACAUUUUUGUUAGAGACUAUAGUUGCUUAGGUUAUUUUAAUCCUUUUUUUCCCAUAUAUUUUGUCUACUAAUAUUUAGUUUUAUGGUUCCCUAGUCUCAAUUCCAUCAUCAAAAGUUUGAUUUCUUCUUUUUGUAUGCCUCUUUGAAUUAUUCAAUUCGAUCUUUAUAUAUAUUUUGACCUCUUUGAUUUAUUAUUAUUUGGUAAUUAUGUAUUUCGAAGUCCUUGCUGAAUUAUUCAAUUUCUUUAUUUUUUUAGUAAAUUGUUUUACUAUGCUCAUAUUUGUAAAUUUUCAUCAAAAUCAAUUACUCUUCCAACUAUCAAGAUCUUUAAGACAUUAUUGAUCAACAUGCAUAAUUCCAAUUUUUUUUUUUGGCAAUUUUUUAAUGUUCUUAUUUAGAUUCUAAAUUAAAAGAAUUAUUGUAAAUAACAUCAUCACCCUUGUACUGAACUGACUAAAUAUAGUUUUGAAUAAUAAUAAACAUCAUCUAGGCCAAAAAUAAUAAUAAAAUAUUAAACAUCAAUGACCAAAGAAAUAUUAAGCAUUUUGAAUAUUCGUAAAGAUUUUCAAUUGAGUCUCCUUGAUGAAUUAUUCAAUUUCUUUAUUUUUUAAGUAAAUUGUUUUACUUUAUUCGUAUUUGUAAAUUUUCAUUAAAAUCAUUUAUUCUUCUAAUUAUCAAGAUCUUUACGACGUUGUUCAUUGCAUGGGAAAAUUUUCAUUAAAAUCAUAUAUUUUAUGUUGUUAUCAAUAUUCCUAACUAAAAAGUAUAUAUUGUAAAUAAAAUCCUCAACCUCGCAUUGCACGGGCUAAAUCUAGUUUUCAAUAACAUCACCUAAAAUAAUAAUAAUAAUAAUAAACAUCAAACAACCAAGCAAAUAUUAAUCAUUUUGAAUAGUGUAAUCUAUCCAUACGUAAGGAAUAGUAUAUCUUUUCGAUAAUUAGAACAAGAAAGCUUGUGAAAACAACAAUAUAUCUCAAAAAAGACAUUUGAAAAAUACUUGCCAGAAUAAACAGAGAAUGACAUACAAAACACCUGGUUUCUUCUUCAAAUUAUUUGGAAAGAUGAAGCCCAAAGGUCAAUUAAAAUGAUCCACAAACCUCCCUGACUCUUUGUUCAGCACAAACUUCUUAGGCAGAAGAAACAAAUUGACAUAAAAUUAACAAGGAAAAUUAUUUUAAUAAAAAUGAAAAUUUUAUGUGCUAAAAUUUUCAGAAUCAUUCAUUUUCAGUUUUCACUAACUAUAAUUAAUUUUCACCUAAUUAAGUGAAAAAAAGCAUGACACAGACCAAUAAACAAAAUAAUUAUGUGGAAGGAAAGAUGAUGAAUCUGUGUUAUAAAUCUAAAAUAUGAACCCAUAUCUAUACUAAACAGUUUAAUUUACCUAGUCAAAUGAGGCAGAUGAGCUGAUACUUCUAUCCUCAAGGAUUCUUGCUUAAGUUUGCAAAAGUAGAUCUCCUUGCAAAAAAUUGUCAAGAAAAUAGCAACAAGCAGAUCUCCUUCCGAAAAUAUCCUCUAUGAAGGAAAAUGAAUAAUGAAGCACAUGAGUUAUUGAAAAGUGGGAAAGAUUAAUAUUUAUGUAAGAAACUGAAAUAAAUGCCCAACUUGUGUCUUAAUAUUGACAUGGAACUUAUAAUAAGAUGAAUUUAUGUUAUAAUUUAAGAUUCUGAUUAAUUAAUGUUAUCAAAGAUAAAACUAAAUCAUAAGUACACACAACUUAAUUCAGUAAGGCAGUGAAGUGAUAUUUCUAUCCUGAAAAGACCCUCAAUUAAUUGGAGAAACAAGUGCAGUCAAGAAAAAUAGCAGCAACAAAUAGAUUAUCUCCUUGCAAAAAAGAAAUCCCCAAUCCUAUGAGAGAAGAGAAUCAAUGGAUUAUGAAGAAAAAAAAUUAAAGUCGGCAGCACCCAAUCAAUUGACUCUUUGGUUGAUGCAUGAUUCUUUUUUAUCUAAAGAGUAGGCUUUAAAUCCCUCUUUCCCCAAUUAAAAAGAAAGAAUAAAAAUCAGAAAAUAUAAAGAAAAUGAAUUAUGAAAAACAUGAACUAUUGAAAAGUGGGCAAGAUGAAUAUUUGUACGGAUCUUAUGUUAAGAUGGGUUUGUGUUAUAAGGUAAGUUUCUGAUUAAUUAAUGUUACCAAAGAUGAAAGCAAAUAAUAAGCAUAGACAGUUUACCUGGGUCAGUGAGGCAGUGAAUUAAUUGAUACUUCUAUCCUCAAAAGGUCUUUAUUAAUUUUCGGAAACAAGCAUGUGGAAGAAAAAUAAACAGCAACAAGCAGAUGAUCUCCUUGCCAAAUUAAAAGAAAAUCCUAAACUUAAUCUUCCGUGAGAGGAAAAUUAAUGAAUUAUGAAGCAAAUAAGAGUUAAAAGUCAAUCCAAAGUCGUCGCACUAGUUGUGAAGUCACUUUCCUCGGAGCUGUUUCACAAUAAUGCAAAUGUGAAUAGAAGAAAAACUGGCAAAGUAGGACAGAAUUAUGGGGCCACUUAUCCUACUCUCCUUCAUUAUUUGAAAAGAUAAAUUGUUGAAGAAUAGCCCUCAAUUGGGGUAUUUCCAUUCCAUCAUCCGCUGUUUAAAUCAGAAAAAAAGAAGCAGCAAAGCAAAGCCAAGGUAAGAUGAUAGCAGCUAGGAAAAUCUCUUGUCCAAAUAUUAAUAUAUAUCUUUCGUGCCAAGAGAUAAUAAAUUAUGAGAAAAAAUAAUUAAUAGUCGUUGGGAAAGGUGAGUCAAUGCAGCAAGUCAUCGUUAAAAUUAAAUUAUGGGAAAAAAAAUAAUAGUAGGUGAGACAAUGCUGUAAGUCAUUGCUAACAUUGCUAACGUUUGCACCAAACUUUAAAUUAUGGGGAAAAAAUUAAUUAAUAGUCAAUGAGUCAAUGCUGCAAGUCGUUGCUAACAUUCCGAACGUUUGAACCAAACUUUAAAUUAUGGGGAAAAAAAUAAUUAAUAGUCAAUGAGUCAAUGCUAAAAUAUUGCUAACAUUUGUACAAAACUUUAAAUUAUGAGAAAAAAAUAAUUAAUAGAUAGUGAGUCAAUGCUAACAAUAUUGCUAACAUAUGUACAAAUCUUAUAUAAAUCUUAAUAAUUAUUAUAUGAAUCUUCUAUAAAGCCGAUUGACUUGAGAAAAGAUAAACAGGGAAAGUAAGGUUAUCCUCGAAUUUUUUCUUUUUAUUAACAUAUGACAAGUUCCCAGGCAAAAGCGAAAAUUCAAAUUAUUUCUAUAAUGAAGGGCUAAUUAACACCUUAUUAAUUGUUAAUUAAGUCUCCUUAAAACUACUCAUUCAGAUAAAUCAUAAUGUUUUUCCUUUUGAUAUAUAUAAAAAAGCUGUUCUAACUAUAUGAAUUUGUUCGAUCAUUGAUUUUCUCAAUCAAUCAGUUAGAGUUGAGCAGCAGAUAAUGUUUUAAGAAGUUGACGUGAAUAAAAUAUUGUGAGACAAUGAGCAGAGGGAAUGAGUAAACAAAUAUAUUACUCGACUCUAUAACAAAGAGUAGGAACUUCAAAUGUCAAUCUAUGAUUUAAUUAUCGGAUUAAUAUGUGCUACUAACACAAUCAAUGGUCCUGAAUAUCAAGAGUUGUUUGUUAUUAACACUACUCUGAAUUAGUAUUUGUAAUGUUUUUCCUUUAUUCUUAAUCAAUUCUAGAUAUGGAAAUUUGUUUGACCGUUGGCUUUCUGAAUCUAUCAGGAAUUGAAUAGACAAGGUGUUGUUAUAGGAAAGUUCAUGCAAUUGAAUACAUAAAGUGUGAAGUAAUGAGCAGCCAUUUUUAAUUAUUGAUUAAGUUGCUGCAGUUCUGAAACUCGUGAUUAUGAUGAGAUGUAAAUUUGAUGAAGUUAUUAUAACCCAAGAUUAAUUUAAUCAGCUAUCAAUGUCAAAGAACUUCACUUUCCUAGCUCAUAAACCGUGAACAGCCAUUUUUAAAUCUUGCUUGCAGUGUGUACAGAUCAUAUAUCUCAGAUGAUAGAGUUCGGCAGGAAAUCAAUCGAAUGAUUGGGCUAAAGCCAAGAUCUUCCAUGCUGAUAAGAAUAAAUGUAUCUGAUUGAGAGAAACUGAAUAUGCCUACUCCAUAAAAACAAUGAAUCAAAAUAUUAUUAUGCCUGUAAAUAUUUUUAUGGUACAUUAAAGGCAAAGAACUUGACAUGGGACAGGCAACAAGAUCGUCGAUAACAUCAUCAAUGAUUACAUUCGAGCCUUCUAUUAAGUUUAUGUAACAAAUACAAAUAAGUAAUGGCUUAUCAUGCAUUCUUAUUUUUGUUAUGAUAUGAGCAUUAAACGACUCUUCCUCAAUGAAACAUCUGAAAGAGUGUAGGAUAAAAGAAAUCAAAACAAUUUACAACUGAUGAAGUUUCAGUCCAGUCAUCUUGUUAAUGUCUCUGUGAGACAAAUAUACCGCAAGUAGGCACUUGCAGGGUGCUAUGCUCAAAUUGGGACUAAACUACCGGUAUCAAAGCCUAAGGUACAAAACAUACUGCUCAAUAGCAUAUAAUAAUAAUGACUUGGAGAUGAAAGAGUUAAGUAUACAGUUAAUCAAUUAUCGAGCAUCUAGUACUGACAGGGUCAUUUCAUUUGUCGAAGAAGAUACAUGAUUGUCUGAUGAAGAACCUUCUUCAUGAAGUGGUCUUUUCAGCAAUAGAAAACUACGUUGUAUGGGUGUGGCAAUUUAGUUUCACUUCCCAACAUCAGAAUCACAGAUGACAUACUUGGCCUAUCCUCAGGAUGCUGUUGUACACUUAAAAGACUAAUAUGGAUGCAUUGUAUCACUUCUAAUAGGUUGCAAGACUCUUCUAAGCAUUCUUCAACAAGUUCUGAAGGGUGCCUUAUUUCCAUAAUCUCCAUGCCUGCAACAAAUUGAAACCCUUUUAGGUUUUAUCAGACCAAGAUAAGCAACUAAAAUUUGAUUAUAAUCCCUGCUUAAAGAGCAGGGUUCAAAUCCCCCUUCCCCCAAGUCCAAAAAAAAAAAAUCGGCUGAAACUGACAUGCUCAACAAGGUUGGCGCUCUGAGUUGGAUGGUAAAGGCCUCUAUCUUUCUUCCCACUUAAUAUCUCCAGCAGUAAUAUACCAGAGCUAAAGACAAUUGAUUUUGCUGAAAAUAGUCCAUCAAUAGCAUAUUCUGGUGCCAUAUAACCACUGCAGAACAUCAUUUAAAGCAAUAAAUAUAUGAGGAUUUUUAGACAUUAUGAAAUAAAGUGACACUUACUAAGUUCCAGCCACUCUUUUAGCAUUCCCUUCAGUUUGGUCUCCUCCAAAAGUUCUAGCCGAGCCAAAAUCUGAAAAUUUUGGAUUCAUCUCACUAUCAAGCAGGACGUUACUACCUUUAAGAUCUCUAAAUAAUCCUCAAUCCUGAAUCUUGAUGAAGAUAGAGUAGUCCCCUAGCAUUGUCACAGAUAAUUCCCAAACUCUUGGACCAAUUCAGUCCUUUACUUCUUGUUUGAUCUGGCAAUUGGUAGGUAUUCUCUUCAUGUCAGUCCAAUAUCAUUUUUGAUCUUUGGAAGCAGCAAACUGCACCAUGUGUAAAAUGUAUGAAAUAUUUAUAAUAAGAGAAACAAUAAACCAAACCAAAUUGACAGGUUUUCAAUGAUUCAGACCACAAAUGAAUGAGUGAAGGCUUCUGUUAAGCAUGUACUCAUAAACCAGCAGUCUUUACUUUCUGUGAAUGCACCACCCAAGAAGCCUUACAAGAUUCUGAUGUUGAAGUUUGGCAAUCAAUUUUACUUCAUUUUUAAACUCUUUCAAUCUUGUCCAGAACUUUUUGAAAGCCUCUUCACAGCAAUUUCUUGUCCGUUUGCUAGUGUCCCCUGGAAAACUACACUUUAGAUUGAGCUUCAAUAAUAAAGAUAAAUUCUCUGUACUUAAGGUAACUUCAAUUAUAUGAUGCAACUUUUACCUUAUAAACAGUUCCAAAACCACCUUCCCUUACCUUGAUGUCCACAGAAAAGCUAUCAGCAGCACGAGCUAUGGUAUGAGGCUCAAAUAUUGGAAGCUCCAUGUCUUCAUCUUGGCCUUGAUUUUCUUGAUCAUUUUCCUUAUUGUCUUUUGUUUCUCUGAAACAGUAGCCAAAAUAGGCUUGGCAAUCACCAUAAAAUAUGAUAGAUUCUUAUGCAUUUUGAUUGAGCUAGAUAAUUGGACAAAAAGCUGAUGUGGUUUUUGAGAUCACACAAGACCAUGCAUCUCCAGUCAUUUGCUUCAUUAAAAACUCUAUUUUCACACUGAUAAGCAUUGAAGAAACUGCAUGUUGAUUUGCUAGCAUCACUAUUAACAAAGUAAUUUUUAACAAAGGAACAAAAUGAGCAUUUUUGUGAAGGAUAUAUCAAAGUUACCUUUCAACUUUCUGGGGCUUCUGUAAAUGUAAUAACUGACAAUAAACAGCCCCGAAAGCACAGGACAGUAGUGUUCUAAUCACUGCAGCAAGCUCCAUCCUAAGCUUAUCUUUCAAUUCUGUAUGACGGAAUUUGAUAAAGAAAAGCAUAUAUGAACAAAAAAAAGUAAUGAAAACAAGAGAAAAUGUACACUCAUACCUGAUUUUGAAGCAGACAUUCUAACAUAUAGAUCCUGCCCUACUGAUUGAAACUGUUUGUAAUCAAUCAAAUUAUCAAACCAAAAGGCGCAACCACAACCUCUUCCUCCAUUAUCUGAACUAGUGUAUGCUUGGCUUUCUGCAUUCCAUGUGAAGUCUUGUAUCAUCAGUUUGGUUGAGAACAAGUCCUGUGAUCAAUGAUUUCUAUUUGAGACAUUUUGUAUGGUUGAAAUAUCAAAUAGAAAUACCAGGCUGAUAGAUCAUGCAUUCUUUUAUAGGAUGAUGUGAUUGACUGACUCUUCAUCAAUGAACUAUACACAAAGUGCAGUAGAAAACAAGUAACAAACAUUUAGAUUUAUGAUAACUUGUCAAUAUGGGGGGCUAAACUUCUUUGAUAAAAAUUCGAAGUUUAUUUCAUGAUGUCCUGAGCUUAGCUAGGCAUCUUUCUAAACGCUCAAAAAGCGUUUUAUAGCUAAUGGACAGAUUAGUGAUCUGAAGAGGUAGUAAUCUUGUUUUUAAUCUUUAGCCAGGGCCUUUUGGCUAGCUGCUCACUCACUUUCAAAGAAGUGCUUCUAAACAUUUAUGAGAAAUAGGGGAUGCUCUGUUUGUAAUUGCAGGGUAAAGACAAAUUUUUAAUUAGUGGUUUGUCAUGACCAGUAAUAUCUCUCCAAUACCUAUGUUGAGAAGAGAGAAAAAUAAAAUGGCUAAGAGCAAUGUUAUACAUGAAAUGGGUUUACAUAGACAUUGAGUUUCAAAGGAGCCGUAGCUGGUACUGUUAUAAAGUUUGGACUGAGAAGGAGAAAGUUUUAUGCAUCAUUUUGUGGAUGAAUGAGGUAAGAAGAUUUAGUACAUAAAAAGGUAUUCGAUUGGGGAUUUUACCGCCAUACAUAAAAUUAAAAACCUUAUUUUCUUUUUUAUAAAAAGAAGAGCAAUUAUAUACCAAAUGAGAAAGAGAUAAAUGAAUAAAAAUAAAAACAGAAUGUUUGCAAUUUUAACAAGAAGCAAGAGGGCACUGUACCAUUGAGGGCCGUGGAGCCACAUUUAAUCGAAUAGCUCUUCUCCAUCUCAUUCUAAUUAUAUGUAACAAAGGGAGAAAGGACAUCCUUAGCAUCAGGCUGAUUCCAUUUCUUCUCCUUUGUGAUUUUCUUCCGAUGCUAUUAUUUCCUCCAUUUCUUCACAACUGCUAACACUAAUUUCCUCUAAGUUUUGGAGGCUCUUCAACAGCUCAACUGGAAACAACUUCUUAAUCUUCGAACAUCUACACAUAUCUAAUAUUUUAAGAGAAGAGAAGAUGGUAGGUGGUGUUGGAGCAUCAGAGUAAUUCUUUAGCAAAUGAGAAAGAGAUGAAAAUAAACUCACAAUUAAUGUUUGCAGUUCUUAAUAAGAAGCAAGAGCCUUACAGCCACAAUUAAUCAAACACCAAUUCUCCAUCUCAUUCUACCAAUAUUGAACAAAGGGAGAAAGGACCUCCUUAGCAUCAGGCUGAUCCCAUUCCACUGAUUCCCACCAUUCUCUCGGGCUUACUGUCAUUUUUGGUAGAGAAGGAGGAGGAGAUGGUUUCCCAUUUUCAACAAGGGGAAGAGACAAAGGGAUCCUCUUAACUUCUGGACAUUCAACUAUAUGAAGAAAUUGGAGAGAAUCUGCAGGAAUCAUAAGUCCACCGCUGCAAAUGCUUUUCAAUUUUGGUAAUUCUUCCAAGACUAAUGAUUUUAAUUUGGGAAGAAUAAAUGUUGUUCCUUCUCCUUUGUGAUUUUCUUCUGAUGCUAUUAUUUCCUCCAUUUCAUCACAAUAUCUAACAUCAAUAUUCUCUAAGUUUGGGAGGCCUUGCAACUGCUCAACUGGAAACAACUUCUUCACCCUCGAACAAAAACUGAUAUCUAAUUUUUUAAGAGAAGAGAAGAUGGCAGGUGGUGUUGGAGAAUGAGAGGUAGAUUCAAUUUCAACUGCUACUCCUACUCUCACAACUUCACGCAAGUUUUUCAACAAAAAUAGGCGUAACUCCUCAAUGUUGUCAAGUGCGUCACAAGACGAUAAUGACAAGUCAACCACACACUCCAUCCCUUUACACUGCCAAAUUCGACAUUCCUUCCAGUCAGUCGCCUUACGAAACAAAGGAAUGUUGUUUAAACAUUUGAAAUCAUCAUACUUGUCAAUAGUUAAAGUUUGAAGGUCAUGUGGGACCACCCUAGGGACCAGUCUGAUGAGUUCUAUCUUUCAGGGAAUUCAGGCUUAAACAUCAACUUUCAGGGAAUUAAGGCUUGAAUCCUUCAAAAAGUGGGAGCUGAGUACCAUCACAAUUCCCUUUUGAACCACAAAGUCCAUAUCUGUCAAAAUAGUCUCUUGGAGCAAAUGAGAAAAGCAUCCAAGCUUGCUUUCUGCAUUUCAUGUGUAGUCCUGUGAUCAAUGAUUUCUAUUUGAGACACUUAUGAUGGUUGACAUAAAAAAUAGAAAUACCAAGUGGGUAGAUCAUGCGCUGUUUUCAUAGGAUAAUGUGAUUGAUUGACUUUUGAUGAAUGAAGUAUACACAAAGUGCAGCAGAAAACAAAUUAUAAACAUUCUCUUCAUUGGACAAACAUAACUUCAAUGACUUACUUGUAUUAAAUGAUUUCCAAUUCAUCAACCAUUUGAGACUAGUGUGGAUGUGCAGGAUAGUCCUAAGAAUUCAUCACCAAGUUCAACAGGGGUGCCUUCCUUCCUCCCAUAAUCUCCAAGCCUGCAGCAAAUUGAAAACCUUUUAGUCAUUUUGCUAUAUCUUUCAACAUUUUAAUUCAUAAUAAUCAAAGUAUUUUUGAAACAUGCGAGUGAAAAUGAAAAUAAAGGAAACGGGUGGGAAGGUGUAAUAGGAGGGGAUGUAGGAAAUGUGAGAUAGCAAUUGGCGGAGAAAUGCAGAUUGAAGGGUGUUGAGUUGGAGAAUUUAUUUUUAUAUUAAAAAUAAAAAGUUAAAGACUUAGUUUUAUUUUGAUAUUAAAAAAGAGAAAUUAUUUAACAAAUGAGAAAUUAAGAGAUAAAAAGAGGACGUGGAUGAAAAUAAACUCACAGUGUUUGCAGUUCUUAAUAAGAAGCAGGAGCCUUACAGCCACAUUUAAUCAAACACCUCUUCUCCAUCUCAUUCUACCACUGAGAAUAUCGAAGAAAGGGAGAAAGGACAUCCUUAGCAUCAGGCUGAUCCCAUUCCACUGAUUCCCACCAUUCUCUCGACCAUACUGUGAUUUCUUUUAGAGAAGGAGGAAGAGAUGGUUUCCCAUUUUCAACAAGGGGAAGAGACAAAGGGAUCCUCUUUACUUCUGGACAUUUGAUUAUAUAAAGAUAUUGGAGAGAAUCUGUAGGAAUCAUAAGUCCACCACUGCAAAUGCUUUUCAAUUUUGGUAACGUAGCCAACUUUAAUGAUUUUAAUUUGGGAAGAAUAAAUGUUGUUCCUUCUCCUUUGUGAUUUUCUUCUAAUGCUAUUAUUUCCUCCAUUUCAUCACAAUAUCUAACAUCAAUAUUCUCUAAGUUUGGGAGGCCUUGCAACUGCUCAACUGGAAACAACUUCUUCACCCUCGAACAAAAACUCAUACGGAAUCGUUUAAGAGAAGAGAAGAUGGCAGGUGGUGUUGGAGCAUGAGAGGUAGAUUCAAUUUCAACCGCUACUCCUACUCUCACAACUUCACGCAAGUUUUCCAUCAAAAAUAGGCCUAACUCCUCAAUGUUGUCAAGUGCGUCACAAGACGAUGAUGACAACUCAACCACACACUCCAUCCCUUCACACUCCCCAAUUCGACAUUCCUUAAAGUCAGUCGCCUUACGAAACAAAGGAAUGUUGUUUAAACAUUUGAAAUCAUCAUCCUUGUUAAUAGUUAAAGUUUGAAGGUCAUGUGGGACCACCCUAUCAUCACACCUCUCUAUCUCCAAAUUUCUAAAUUCAACCUUUUUCUUAAUUUCUUUGAAAUCUGGGAAUCCCCGAUAUAAAUACCCUUAAGUGGUCCCACUUGAAAAAAGAAAGAUGUAGGCCAUUUACCUUGCGUACACUCUGCGUAUUUAUUAAACUCUUGCACGUUGCGAAAUGAACAUGAAACCCACUCGAGCUUCCUCAAUUGGCCUACUUCUUCUCCCUUUACAAACGUAUCCUCUAGCAUUAAGCAUUGGAGAUGACAAAUCCUCCGUAAUAUUCCUACUGGUAGCUCUUUUAAAGCCCAUGACCUCAUACGAAGAUCUCUCAAGUUUUCUAACAUCUCUAUGCCAUGAGGAACCUCUCCAAUUCCUGUACCCGAAAGGUCCAACUUUCUUAGUGAUGUGAGCUCUACUAAGGAAGGCACAUAUUUUAACUGGUUACAACAAAAGAGUAUCAAUGCAUUGAGAGUUUUCAAGUUAGAGNUCCUGUAGCAUUAAGCAUUGGAGAUGACAAAUCCUCCGUAAUAUUCCUACUGGUAGCUCUUUUAAAGCCCAUGACCUCAUACGAAGAUCUCUCAAGUUUUCUAACAUCUCUAUGCCAUGAGGAACCUCUCCAAUUCCUGUACCCGAAAGGUCCAACUUUCUUAGUGAUGUGAGCUCUACUAAGGAAGGCACAUAUUUUAACUGGUUACAACAAAAGAGUAUCAAUGCAUUGAGAGUUUUCAAGUUUGAGAUCGACUUCGGCAGAUACUUUAAGAAAAUAUUAUGUGAAAGAUUUAAAACUUUUAACUCAGGCAUGUGCUUAAAAAAAGAUUCUGAAAUCCUUUGUAAGCCACAAUUUUGCAGUUUCAAAGUUGAUAAAUGAGGCCAUCUAGGUGAUAUGUGAGGAGGAAUUUCUAAUAUUGAAUUUUGCAUCAAGGAAACUUUCUCAACACUCACUGUCCAUUCUUGCUCACUUGGGAAUUCUUUCAAUUGCAUACCUGCUUUUACCAUGAACUGAUGACCUUUAAUAUACAACAACGCC